UUUUUUUUUUUUUUUUGUUCUCCACAUGUUAUAAGAUGUUUCUAAUUAAAAUUGUAGUUCACAAAAUAUUCUAACAUGUUAAUCUUUUAUUAAAAAAGAAAAGAAAAAAGAUAUUGAUACCUUCCAUGAUUUUGAUUAUAGAGUGGUCGUGAAGACCUUCUUAUUUUCAUAAAUGGUCAUGCAAAUCUCUGUUUAGGAUGUAUAACCCUGUUUUGUGUUUCAAACUAGUAAAGCAGACCUCCUUAUGGGUUGUAGGUCUGAAAAGAGUAUGUGCGACCAAUUUUAAAAAUAAUGGGGUUUCCAUGACUACUUUGUCAAACCACGAGAUGUUCAUAUUUUUUUCCUAAAGAAAUAUAUACAAGGGCUGAAAAACACAUACCUGGAGCAGCAUAUCCAAAUGUGCCUACAAAUUCAGUCCGGUUGGAUGAGUAUGGCUCGACAAACUUGGCAAUUCCAAAAUCUGAGACAUGGGCUUCAAAUUCUAAAUCAAGCAACACAUUCUUACUUGAUAUGUCUCGAUGAAUAAUCGAUGGGAGACAAUCAUGAUGCAAGUAGGACAAAGCAUUAGCUACUCCUUUAAUCACAUUUAUUCUCCGAUUCCAGCUCAAUUCUUUUGCUGUUGCAUCAUUACCAAGGAUUCUAGCCAAGCUACCCCUAUGAAGAUAUUCACAAACUAAAAAUGAGUGUCGGGCGUUAGAACAAAAUCCAUGAAAUUUUACAAUAUUUCGAUGUCGUAUCUCAUUCAAUGCCAAAACUACAUUCAAGAAUUCAUCCUGAUCGGCCAUAUUACCGGAAAGCAAUUGCGAGUUGAAUUUUUUAACUGCUACGAUAUCCCCAGAGGGUAGCUCAGCUUUAUACACACUUCCUUGUCCACCUUUUCCAAUGCAAAACUUCUCAUCAAAAUCAUCUGUUGCUUUAAUGAUUUCUUCGUGCAUAAUUUUCCCGUCAAAAUUUAAUACCGAAAGCAAUCUCAAAGGAUUCAUAGAGAUAGUUUGUUCUUCUUGUGAGUCCUUCUUCCUUUGUCGAAAAAAGAAGAAGAAUCCAAUCAAACUAAUCAAAAGCAAAACCAUUCCUAGGAUAGGGAACACAAUUACAAUCCAUUUCUUUCUCGAAGUUUGUUUGUGAGACAUGAAAGCAUCACAAGAUGAAAACGCCUCAAAAUUGCCACACAAUCCUUUAUUCCCUUCCAUUAAACCGUCUUUGAACACUGUGCUAUUAGGAAUUGGUCCCUGUAACUCAUUAUAGCAUAUGUCAAUGCAUGACAAGCUGCGCAUUUUUUCAAAGCAUCUUGGAAUGAAACCAGAGAGGUUAUUGUGGGAGAGAUUCAGCUUCUCCAGGCUUUCCAUAUUACAGACUUGAGGUGGUAUCUCUUCCUGGAGAAUGUUAUGACUCAAAUCUAACUUUGAAAGAUGAAUCAACUUCUCAAAUUCAAUUGGAAUUGUAUGGCUAAAUUGAUUGUUGCUCAGAUUCAAGUAGUAAAGCUUCAACAAGUUGCCUAUACUUUUUGGAAUCGAGCUGCUCAAUUUGUUUGCAGACAAAUCGAGGUAUUGAAGUUCAGUUAAUGAGCCAAAUUCUAGAGGCACACUUCCAGAGAGUUGAUUCAAACUCAGAAUUAGUUUGUUUAGAGAAAAUAACUUUUCCAAUUGCACUGGAAUUUUACCAACAAUGUGAUUUGAAGAAAGAUCAAGAAAUUGUAAUUUGGAUGAGUCUCCAAUCUCAAGCGGUAUGCUCCCAAAAAUAUUAUUCAUGGAAACAAUGAAGGUAUCUAAUUUUGGAAGAUUUCUCCAAUUAAAUGAGAUUUUACCAUCAAAAUUAUUUUGGCUAAGAUCCAGGAAAGUUAGAUUUGGAUGAUCACCAAAAGCUUCAUACACUUUUCCAACAAGAUUGUUUUGAUUAAAGCGUACUCUCUUUAGGCUUGUCAAACUUUUCAAACUUUUAGGGAUUGGACCAAAAAGAUGGUUUUCACACAUGUUUAAUAAAACCAACCCAGUGAGAUUACCAACUGAAUGAGGAAUAACCCCACUAAGAUUAUUUUUGCAGAGCUUUAAUUCAGAAAGAGACUUCAAGUAUCCUAUUUCCUCAGGAAUAGAACCGUAAAGCCCAUUGUUGAAAAGGGAUAAAUUUCUUAGAGAGCUAAGAUUACCAAUUGAAGGAGGAAUGACACCAUUGAGUUGAUUUAGGUACAACCCCAGUGUCGAAAGAGACUUCAAGUUUCCUAGAAUGGGAGGGAUGGAACCAGAAAGUGAAUUACUAAAAAGAGACAUUAGAGUCCAGCUGCUUAAAUUACCAAAGGAAAGGGGGAUUGAACCACUGAGUUGAUUUUCAAUCAAGUCUAGUUGGUGAAGAGACUUCAAGUUUCCUAUAAUCGAAGGAAUAGAACCAGAAAGUGAAUUUUUAUAAAGAAACAAGGUGUCCAAGUUACUUAAGUUAUCUAAAGUACAUGGAAUCAAACCAUUGAGUUGAUUUUGGCUCAAAUCUAGAGUUGAAAGAGACUUCAAGUUUCCCAUAACAGUAGGAAUAUAGCCAAAAAGGGAGUUAUUAUUAAGAUACAAAAGAGCCAAUUUGCUUAAGUUACCCAAAGACGAAGGGAUCCUACCAGAAACAUUGUUAUGACAAAAGGAAAACUCAUGAAUAAGACUUAACUGACCUAUUACUGGUGGAAUUGUGCCAUGCAACUGAUUCAUGUCAAGGUAAAGUCUCCUCAACUGAUUUAGCUUGCCAAUUUCUGGUGAUAUUACCCCAGAUAAUUGAUUAUUGCCAAGAUCAAGAUUCUGAAGCUUGGAGAGGUUACCGAUUUGAGGGGGGAUGUUUCCGAAGAAUAAAUUGAAGCUUAGGUUAAGAUUCACAAGAUGAGGAAAUGAUGAGAAUGAAAAAUCCUGAAACGUACCAUUUAAACACAAAGUGCUUAGGUUUAUACUGAUGACUCUGCUUCCUGCAUGGUUACAAGAAAUUCCAAACCAAGAACAUGGGCUUAUUUUGGAUGCAUUAGUAGGAUAAAGUGUCCAUGAUGACAACAAAGAGGAGUUAAGGUUUUGAUUUUGAAGGCUUGUUUUCCAGUUGAGAAGAGCACACGCUUCUGCACUAGAAUCAGAAGUCACGUUAUGUGAAAAAUUUAACAAAAGAAAUAGGAUCAGAAUAAUGAAGAUUGGCAAUCUCAUGUUGUUUAUGUUAUUGUCUUUUGCAUGCAUAUCAUGAACGAGAACUUGACAUAUAUAUACACACAUACACACACCAGCAACCGAGACUCCAGGAAGACUUUUAAUUCCUUAGUAUGAGUUUAACGUAGGAAUAUCUUUCGAAAUUGUUGACCAGAAAAAUGCUGGAAAGAAGAAAUACAUUUAAGUCGAGAAUGACUGUCUUUUGAAUCUUUCCAACGCUUCAUGAGAAAAUUUCCAACAGGUUGGGGCUAAGUAAUUUAUCGAAUUAUUAACAUUAGAAUGUUGGUUCCAAGUUAAAUUUAUAAGAUAAUAUCUUAUGCAUUAAUUUAAAUUUAUAAGAGAAUAAUCCUACUUAGACAGAAAAAUUAAACAGAAGGAAAGCAAAGUUAUUAAUUUUUACACCACACAGGUAAAAGAGAAAAAGAUAAAAUAAUCAAUUAACAUAAUAACGCCAUAUGGUGUUACAGUUCUCCAUGUCUCCCUUUUGUAUCUUUAACAAUUUUUCUUUAUAAGAUAAUUCUUUCUUUAUGUUCUAAUUCUUUCUAGAAUUUAUCCUCUCUUUAUUUUAGUGCUUCGCAUAUAUAUGUUGAAGGGUAAAGUUCACUCUUCCCUACCAACUAGGUUUAUUUUUUAUUUCUUUUAAUUAAUAAACUCCUCUCAUACCGUCAGGGAUCAUCAAAAAAAAAUUUAUAAGAUAACAUGCUAUGGAAAAAUAUUUGUUGUUUUACGUAGGCACCACUUAGUGACAAAUAUUUCUGGAAAUAUAUGCAACUAGCUAGGCUCCCAGUCUCAGAAGAAUGAUUAAGAAAAUCAUAAGCUGUAAAAUGCAGGCAGAUCCAAAGGCAUUCAUUUACGUAUUGGCUGUGGCAUUGAAUAAAAAUAUUUUUCCCCGUCAAGUUUUAGUCUAGCUUGAUUAAUCUCUAUCAAAACUGCGGAAAAGGGGAAUAGUCCACAACGUCAUUAGCACGAGUACGACUGUGAUAUACUCGGAGAUUUUCGUUCUAAAUUUAUUUAUUUUUGAAAAUAAGAAGAACUCGUCUGAAUACACAGCAUGAUCAAUCAAUCACGAUUGCAUGUCCACUUUCUUGUCAAGCCUUAUAAGAAGGAUUGAGGAAGAAAUUAAUUUACCACGUCUUAUAACCUUAACCUGGAUCAAAUGAAGAAUUAAUUUUUAAGAAAUUAGAUCUGUAAAUAUAUAACCCAUAAUUAAUUUUUGAUGAUAUAUGUCUAUUUACUUUUUAUAAAUUGCUAUUAAUAUUCAUGGACUUUAUAGUCAAUGAUUAUGGUUUUCAAUUUGGAGUACAGCUUCGUUUAGUAAUAAAGCUUAUUUUUUACGAGAAGAGCUUUUGUUAAAAAGAAGCUUAAUUGAUUGGUUGGUUGUCGAUGAGAGUUUUUAUCAAAAAUUGUAAAGUUACUUUAAUAAACAAGUAUUUUAAAGUUAUGUUAUGAAAUGUGUGAAAUAAUGUUAAAGCAUUUUAGAUAAUUUAAAUUUUAAAAAAAAAAACACUGCAAUCUCUAUUCCCAAAGGUUUAAAAUUUGAGUUUUCACUAGUAAAGACAAAAUAACUUAUUUAAUCACCAAAAGUUCUACUUAAAAACACAACCAAACAAUAUGAAAAUUAUUUUUUUAAAAAAAAUUAAGAAUCAAAUAAAUACUUUUAGUUAUUAAAUAAGUCGUACCAAACAAAAAUUAAGACACGUCUUAGGUCCUCAUUCCUUUUUGCUCUUGACAUUCAUGGACUUUCUAGUCAGUGAUUAUUUUUUUCCAUAUAGAACACUUAUGUCCUAUUAUUCAUGGACUUUUUACACUCUUCUUUGGAAUAUUCAUGUAAAAUAAUUCAAUAUACGGUAUAGCUACAUAAUUAUGAAACUAUUAGGGGACUUGUAAUUAAAAAUCCCUCUGGGGGACCAGAGUUGCUCCGAUUUUUUUUCUCAUUAGAGGAAAGAAAUGUUUGGUUGAGCAUUUCUGUGUUGAAAAGGAAAUUCCGAACGGAAGUUAAUUAUAGGUAGAAAGCCAAGUUCUCAGAAAUGGGCCAAAAGAAUUGGAAUAAAAAUUAAAGUUGAAUGAGAAUCAAACAACAGGUCGUAGUUCUAAUAGAAUAUAUAUUUGUGUGUUAUUGGAAAAUAAAUAAUAUUUAUAAUCUUAUUUGUCCCACGUGCAGUGAUGCGUCUUAUUUAUGUAUUGAUUUUUUAAAAAAUUAUGAUUAGUAAUUAUUGAAUAAAAAUAUAUUGAUAAUUAAAUUUUAACUGUGUAUUGAGAGCCUGUAUUUUUGCAUAACCUUAAACAAACACAUACUGCCAAUCAUAGUAAUUUUUUUCAUUAAUUUUUUUCUCCAAAGAGAGUCUUUUAACGUAUCUGGCUUCUAAUUUCUAUAGCUUCCACAGGCUACCAUGAACAAUAGAAAUUUAGCUAGUAGUUGCCUUUGAUGUGAUGUUGAGAACGGAAAAAUCAGAGAUGUGAAAUGCAGCGUUUUAGGGUUGAUUUUGAUCACUUGAAUAAGGAUGCGAUGGUAUCCGCAAACCUACCCAAACUUGUCCGCCAAAACCCGUCCACUACAAAUAAUUUUGUGCAUUGUGGAAGGGUUUGGUAGUAUAAAUUGAAAUCCGCACUAGGUGCCAAGUGGGUUUGGUAUUAGUCAAAUAUUCGAAGGAUACCCGCAUGUGUAUAUGCUAAGCUGUAGGUUUUUCUAAAUAUUUUUAAUUUAAUUUUAAUAGAAAAAUAUUUAAAUCUAAAAACAUAUAAAGUAAAUAAUGUAAAGUACAAAUGUGUGUGCAAGUCGCAACAUGCCUAAUAGGCUUUAACUUAAUGCAUUGACUAUUAUAUGCUUAUUAUAAUUUUGUAUGAACUAUUAUUCUUUAACUUAAUGCACGGAUUAUUUAAUUAUUAUAAUUUUAUUUUUUGAAUUAGUAUUUAAAAAGUAUUAUUCUUUAGAAAAUAUGAAUCUUAAUCAUUAUUGUACAAAUCGUGUUGGAUGGAUGCUAAUGGUGGUGAAUGAAAUGAAGAUAUUCUCUUAAAACUUAUGUUAAAUGAUAACACGAAAUGAUAAUUGUUAUUUUUAGAUACUAAUUUGUGGUUUUUUUUAUAGAUUCAUGUAUUUUAUAUUUAAGUUUGAGAAUUUGCGUUGGAUUGAUGUUGAAAUUUUAAUUUUCCAUUUACAUUAGUUAAAAUUAGAAUUGAGUAUGUUAUGUGAAAUUUUAGGUCAUUAUUAUAAAUUUACAUAUUGAACAUUUAUGAUUUUAAAUAUGAAAACCUGCAAAAAAAUCCAACGAGUAGCAUUACGAUUUUGGUAAUUAUUAAAACCUGCAGCAGGUGGGCUUUCUUAAAAAAAUUGAAACUCGCAGCGGAUUGCAGGUGGGUUUGGUAAUUCAAAUUUUAUGCGAAUUUGAACUACUCUUUAAACAUUAAAUUAUAUUGUUUAGACACCUAGACCGGGCUUAAAAAGUCCAGCACUUGGCGAGGUUUUUUAAUUUGCAUUUUCUUGCCCGGAUUUUAUAUUUUAUAAUUUUAUACGGUACAGCAGUAAUUUUAUAUAUGUAUAUAUUUUUUAUUUUUUAAGUUUAUUUUAAUAAAAUUGAACAUUAAAAUAUGAAUUUUAAAUGUUUAAAAUUUUACCUAUAUAUAAUAGAUGGAUCAAAUAAAUAUAAUUAUUUGUAAUAAUAUAUAUAUUAUAAUUUUUUAAUAAAAUUCGGAUUUUGGGUCAAAUCUCAAGCUUUUGUCUGGGCUGGCCUAGAUGAUACUCGAACCCCAUUGCUUGGAUCCGGACAGAGCGGGUAUUUUUGACACCCCAAAUUUGGACUCAAGAAAAUUGCAGCUCAAAGCUCUUUUGUUUGCUUUACCAUUUUUAGAUUUUAUUUUAAAAUGUAGAAGAACUUUAACCUCAAACAGUCAUCUAAAAUAAAAUUACUUGAAACAUUCGAUUAAGCCUUGAGAACUCAUUCUCUUCAACUAAAAUGAUAACUAAUAAUUAUUAAAGAUGCAAUUGAAAAUGCUUUUAACAUGUUAAAUUGCUUUCAAACUGUUUAUAAAUGCUUAUGUUAGUUACAGUGAUUAAUUGCAAAUGCUUUUAACAUGUUAACAUGCAUUUUGAGUAAAGUGUUUUCAGAUUAAAAACAGCACUUUAAAUACUUCAAAAAGUAUUUCACGAGAUCUAUUUUCCAUUUUUUCUUCCGAUUGAAAAAUGCACUUUACGUGCGAGCGUAUGUUGUAAAUAUGAGCAAUUUAAGAGAUCUAGGUAGUGUUUGAUUUGAAGAAAAUUAAGGAAAAGAGAGGAGAGGAAAGUGGAAGAAAGGAGAGGAGAGUAUAUUGAAAUUCUUUUCUAAUGUUUGAUUUAUUAUAAAAUUAUACAAAGAAAUGAAAUACCUUAACUUUAAUUUGGACAAUUUCACCCUUUAGUGUUAAAUUUUUGAUAUUUAUCAUAAAUAUAAUUUCACCGCGUCUUGCCACCGGCCACCACUGUACCAUGUCAUUUCAACUCAAGAAUUAUAUGAAAAUUAUCAGAAUUUGUUAAUCUAUAGAUUGAAACAACUUAUUUAGUCGAAAUAUUUGAUGUUUGUCCGGAUAUGAGAUAGUUAGAAAAUUUUCAAAUUCUACUAACCGGACUUUAGGAAGAUAGAUUCAUUUUUUCACUUGUGUGACAUUAAAACUGUGUUUAUCAUCAACUGGCGACUCCAAAAGUACAGGCGGUGGUGUCUUAUGCGCGGUUGUUAGCGACGGAGGUGACCGUCCGGCGAUUGCUAAAUUUAUAUUUCUAUUUUAAAAAUUAAUUAAAUAAAUGAAAUAAUUUUAUUAAAUUAUUUAAAUCAUUGCUUUAACUUUUACUACUACAAAAUUAAUUAUUUAAAAUAUUAAAUUGAUAAAAUAAAAUUGUAAAUAAUAAUAAUUUGAUAAUAUUAAACAAGUUAAUACAAUUUGAAGGGUAAUUUUAGAUAUUUUAGCUUCUAAUAAAGGAGAAAUCAAAUUCGUUACUCUUUGGUGUGGAAUCUAAAUUCCACAUUAUGAUGUAUAUUAAAUUAUAAUAGAAAUUAAAUUCUUAUAAAUUAUGGUAAAUCAAACAAAGAAAAUAAGAAAAAAAUUUAAAUUACUUUCAUUUCCCCCUUCCUCUCCUUCCAACCAAACACCACCUAAGUGUCAUUCUCUCUUUAUUUUUAUUUUUAUUUUUGAGAAGGUUCUCUCUUUAGUUGAAUCAAGUAACGAUGAUGAUGAUUUUGUAGAAAUAGCAUUAUGGGCCCCAGCACAUUGCAGCCCAAAGUCCAAUUCAGAAGCCCAAGUGGAGAGGCCCAAUAUUGUGCCAUUACCCACUCUUAUAGUCUUAUUGAAGAAACUUUUCAGAUCAGCUAUGUCAAAUGUCAAUAACCACCUCGUUGACGAAGAAAACGUGAACCAUUGGAUUUUUUAGGACAAACUCUUGAUGGUUAGGCAUAAUUUUAGUAAUGGAAAAUGAGAUUCAUCCCACGCUGAGCACUAACCGUUUUGUGCUAACUAUAAAACAAGUUACUGUUGCUUCAAAACACACACACUCGCCUCACAACUCUCGUGCAAACUCACAAAACGCAUCGUGGGAUUGCUCUACCGCCAACGCUCUCUCUCUCUCUCUCGCGCCGUGGGUCUCUCCACAUCCGGCCUCUCACGCAUCUCACUGCUCACUCCUUCGGCUUUCUCUCUCUCUCGCCGUGGGUCUCUCCACAUUUGAUCGUUGGCUCUCUCUCUCUGCCCCGUCGACAGCUGUAGCUUCAGUCUCUCGGCUUCACUUGUCGUCGCCCGCCGUAACCGAUUCGUGGAGGUAAUUGGUUUUAUUAAUGCCCAAUUUUGGUUGUGCUAAUUACGAAUAUGUGAAGAUUCAAUUGCGAAGUCAAAUUGUGUUGAUAAUUGCUGUAAGAACUUGCUAUUGGAAAUUAGCAAAAUGUUGUUCUGUUGUGAGUUAUAAGCUGCUGAUCCGUUGGGGGAAAACCAGGCAAUGAAACAAGAUUCAGGCGACAGCCCAGUUUCAGAUUUGGAAAUUGGUUUUGACGGACUUAAAUGGGCAUAAUCAUGAGAUGCUGACGGUUCAAUCCAAAGACUCUCUCACGAUCAGCCAUGCGAAGACAUGGUGAGAGUGAUACAGCCGGCAGUGGACCACCAAAUCUCAAUGUCGAGGCUUCCGCUUUCCGGUCAUUUUAGGGUCAUAAAAAUGGGUAUUUUAACAAUUACCAUGGCCGGUUUUUCAUUCUCUUCUUUAUAAUGGUGAACAUACUGCAUUUUUUACCUUGUGAACAUACUGCAGCCCCCGCCGUGAUUUAAGUAAUCUGGAAUUGGGGUUCUGGGGAAUUAUAUCGGCAAUUACAUUUUGUGAACAUAUUGCAUUUUUUGGAGUAUUCAAAUAUGUGAAGAUAGCUCAUUGUGCAGAAGUGAAGAAGAAGAGUCAGCGUGUCAAGUUACCAGCUGUCAUUAGUGCCACGUCAGAAGGUCCACGUCAGCAGCAGUUACCAGCCUAACUAACUUCACAAUGCAUACUCUGUAUUCUGUUAUUGAUUAGCUGAGUGAGCUUGUGAUUAAUAAUCAGUUAGUAAGCAAUUAGUUAGUAAGUGUAGCAUGUAUAAAUAGCUGCACGUUUCGUGAUUGGUUUUAUGUACAAAAAUAUCAAUUCAUUAACGAAAUAAAGAAUUUUUCCUCUGCAUUUUCUCAGCUGCCAAACAGCAGCAUUUAUUCAGUUUUACAAUUUCUUCAAAAUAAAGUAUUUUAAAAUUCGAUCCAGAACUUAUUUCUUAUAAUAAUUAAAAUUCCAAUCACGUUACAAAUUAACAAAAUUUUAAAUAUUGAAUAAAACUCCAUCUAAUGUUUAAUCAUUUCUUUCACUCGCCGAAAGCGAAGAGGAAGAACAAACGCAGAAACAAAAAUCAAACAGAAACACAACCCAAGCGAUUUUAAGUCAUGAGGCGUAAUCUUCAUUGCAAGGGCAAAAUCGUCAGACAACUUAUGUCAAACAAACUUUCCACAGCGAGUCUCUCUCUCCUCAGCGUUUGCGUUUCAGUAACACGAGUGUGUGUGUGGUCUGCGCUUGCGUUUGAGCAAGACGAGUGCGUGUGUUUUGAAGCUACAAUAACUCUAUUAUAGUUAGCACAAACGAACCGUUUUGUGCUAACUAUGGUCCUAAAUGGUGUGAGCAUAUAGGUGUUGUUUUUAUAAAGAACCUAAGUGUGAUUUUCCUUUAAAAUUAAUUUCACAAAUAAUUAACAGAGGAACAAAGGGCCGUCCUUACUCCUUAGCCACUAUUACAACACUAGCUGUAAGUUUUAAUACAAAGCCAAUUACAUAUAACCACGUGUCGCUCUCAGCUCAAGCAAAUCAGUCUCCGUACGAGAAUGUCUGUCCUGUCCUGAAAACAUACCAAAACAAACAUUGGUUCUUCAUAUACCCUCAUUCGCUUUAACAAAAGACAACUUUACGCUCAUCACAAUUUUGGCUUUCAUGCGGUAGCAAAUUAGUAAUUCUACAAUUCCUCUAAGGCUAAAAACGUAAUCAAGGAGUUCUUCUGUUGCUAUAAAGAGAGUGGUUUCAGGUUAACAUUUUAGUGAGACCUCUCUUUGUGUCUGUUUACAAAACAAAAAUGACUGCUUUGAAGUCGGCUUUGAGAGCCAAAAAAAUGGACGCUUUUGUGCUCAUUUUGAUGCUUGUUUUGUUGCCAUUAGUCCACUCCUCUAGUUAAGCAAGCAAAAAUGCCUCUCUCUUUUUCUUCUUCUUCUUCCUUUUUUUUUUUAAUUCUUAAUCUCUUUUUGAAAAAUAAAAAUACUAACUUUGUUUCUUAUUCUUGGCAUUUUCAGGCUUGGAACACACAAGCACAGCCACUCAGGUAACAUAUUUUCACAACCCAUAUAUUAAAAAAAAAAAAAAACUUUUUUUAAACUUUUUUUUCUAUAAAAUGGGUAUGUUUGUUUUUAUUUAUUGGGUUUAUAUCUUUUGUUUCUGAGUAGGACUUUGAAGCAAAAGAUGGAGAUUCUUCAACAAAUUUCACCAAUGUUGUUGUAGAAGAUUCAGCAAGAGAAGUGCCAACAGGACCUGACCCUCUUCAUCACAAUAACAAUCCCGCUGGUCCUUGAAGCUAUAUCUAGCUAGCUUGCUUGCUCUCUCUCUUUUUAAUUAAUCUUGUGGCUCUUUAAUAUUGUGUAAAGUUUUUGUUCAUAAAAAAAUGGUUGCUUGCUAGCUCUUUUAAUUUUAUAAAAAUAUUAAUCUUUUUCUUUGCUUUUGUUCUAAAUAAAUUCUAGAAUGAUUGUUAUUUUUUUUCCUAUAUUGCCAAAAUUAACUAAUUACCCACAUGAUUAUUGAGAAAUUUUGGAUGAUGAUAUUGCAAUUUUUUUUGUUGUUGUCAUAUUUCUUUAUUUGUCUUAGAAUCAGACUGUACAAUUUGUGUUGUAUUGUAGUACAGCUCCCUACCUGGCCAAUUUUGUGUGUGUGCUGCUGAUGCUUUCUGAAACUGAAACAAUGCUGCGGCUUGCUGCUUUGUUUUGUUUUGCUUAUUUUUGUUGCCACGCUUUUUGCAGCAGCUUGCUUGAUAAAUAUAAAUAUGGCCAAAUUAUUCACAUUUUUAUUAUGAUAUGUCUCAUCUUAAGCAUCAUGUCAUGUUAAUUUGAACUCAUAAUUUGCAAUAAAAUUUUGAUUUCUCUAAACUUGGACUCCGUAAUCUGUUUCAUUGAAUUACUCUCUAUUUACUCUCUACUCAUAUAUAACCAAAACCUACCUUAUUGCCAUAUAAAAAAAAUGAAAAAUAAUUCAGAAAAUAUAGAUUAAUGUGUUUUUUUAAUUAAUUCAUACAUAUUCCAAGAUUGUAUUGAUUUUAUAAAACUGACAACAUAAGCCAAAAUGAUCAAACUGAAAUUGAAGGAAGAGAGACAGAGAAUGAGAAACAUUUAUAUCUUUUUGUAAAAUAUUAAAGUUUAUUAUGCCUAAAUAAACCACCUUAUUUCAGAUGCAACUAAUCGGAAAUCCAAUUUCCAGAAACAAGGAAAAAAAAAAAAGUUCAUAAGAUAGUUAAAACCUCAAAAACAACAAACACAGAGCUUUAAUUUUAUUCAUAAAUAUUAAAAUGGUGGAUUAAUUCACUUGCUCCUCUGUCUCCAUUUCUUGAUGCCUCCAUCACUUUGGAUUCUUAGGCCUUAGCUUGCUUCACCAGCUGAUAAUUUACAGAUAAAUAGAGCAAUUAUCAGAAUGUGUAUGAUUUAUAUAAUUAAUCACAUGAUUAAGAAAGAAUUAUUAAUUAAGUAAGUAAAUUAAUAACACAUCAAUAAUACCUCAAAGUAAGAGUCAAGCUUAGCCUUGAGAUUGCCCUGCUCCGUUUUCACUUGUUCAAAAGCUGCCUUUGCACUGUUUAUAUUUUAUAAGUUUGCUCUCAGUUAGUUAAUUUGCAUUUUUAUUUUAUAUUUGAAAUCUAGAAAAUCAAUAAAAUUAAGUAAUUAAUAAGAAAAUUAAUCACCCUUCGAUAUCCCCAUUUCUGCAACAUGCUAUCACCACAUUCACUUCAUUUUUCACUUUGUUGGCACCAACACUAAAAAUAUUCAAGUUAUAAAACUAACGUAAUAAUUAAUUGAAAUAAAUUACAAAAUAACACUAAAUUAUGUGAAUAUCAUAAAUUAGUAAAUAAAUUUAUUUCAAUAACAUGAAUAUUUAGACUAAUAUUUUUUUUUCUUAGUUACCUCGCACAGCUUCCUUUAAACCUGUGAAGGAUCCUCUCCAUUUCACUUCCCUCAAUGGGAUUUUUUCCCCUGUACAUAUAUGCAUUUAUAAAAAUACAAUAAUAAUAAUAAUAUUAUUAUUAUUAUUAGAGAAAUUGAUGAAUUUACUUACAAUAGAUCCUCAAUCAUAGGUAGCAGUUCGUUUGACUCCUCAAAAUACACAUUAAUUGUAACCUCAACAAAGUUAGGGUCCUCAUCAGAUGCCAACGCUAAACCUUCCAACUCAACAAAUUGCUCGUCGAGAAUUUCCUAUAGAAUAUAUAUAAUCAGCAAAAAGUAAUGAAAAUUAAUUAAUCUUUGAUCCCCAAAAAAAAAUAAAAUAAAAUAACCUCAUCUAAUAAGUGUUGCCUCAUUGAGGCAAUUUGUUGAUGCAGUGGAUUGCUUUCCAUUUUCGAACAGAAAAAAAAAAGGUGAAAUCAAGAAAUGAAAAAAAAAAAAGGUAAAAUUUUCUUCAACUAAAAGCAACUUUAAUUAAAAGCAAAGUACUCAAUGGGCAAGAAAUGGAAAAAUUUAGCAGCAAAAUUGCUUUGUGGAAAUCGAAGAAUAUAUACGCAAAAAGCAAAAAAUAACUCGUGAAGAUUGGAUUUCUCAUGACAAGAAUUUUCACAAUAAACAAAGUGGGCAAACAAUUCUUUUAUUUAUUUUUUCAUGAAAAUUACUUUGUGAUUUGUUUAAACACAGACUGCGCAUGAAGAUUAUGCUGAAGGUGAACUCUUCACAAAUAGUGUGAGGCACUAAAGGUGAAUGAAAGUAAAAUAUUUAGAAACUAGAUUAUUGUAUUUUGUUAAAAUUUAAUGCAAUUUGAUCUAAUCUUGAAAUUGGAAUCUAAUUCUAUCCAAUCAGUUUUCCUCUGAGUAUUGAAUAAAAUAUAUUGAAUCGUUGCUAAUAAUUGACGAAGUGAAAUCUGAAGAGGAAAAGAUAAAAAGUUUUCCAAUUGAAAAACUUUUAGGUUGGUUUGAUGAAUUAAAAAUGGAAAGAAUAGAUCUUAAUUAGUUUUAUUGUAAAAAUGAGAAAAUGUUUAUAAUCCUUUUAAAAUUGGGAAAUUUACAAAAAUAACCAUAAAAUUUUUGUUAUUUUCACAAUUAAUCCUCUCAACUUUUUUCUAUCAACAUUAGCCAAACACACGCUUUUCUCCCCAAAUUACCCUUCUGAACUUGAUCGAGAGUUUCGGAACUGCGAGUCAUGAGUGAAUUUGACGACAGACUGCCUGUCGCACGAAGGUUGGUGCGACAGAUUGCAUGUCGCACCAAAACUUAGAGCGACAGAUUGCAUGUCGCACCAAAACUUAGAGCGACAGAUUGCAUGUCGCACCAAAACUUAGAGCGACAGAUUGCAUGUCGCACCAAAACUUAGAAAAAAAAAAAGGUAAAAUUUUCUUCAACUAAAAGCAACUUUAAUUAAAAGCAAAGUACUCAAUGGGCAAGAAAUGGAAAAAUUUAGCAGCAAAAUUGCUUUGUGGAAAUCGAAGAAUAUAUACGCAAAAAGCAAAAAAUAACUCGUGAAGAUUGGAUUUCUCAUGACAAGAAUUUUCACAAUAAACAAAGUGGGCAAACAAUUCUUUUAUUUAUUUUUUCAUGAAAAUUACUUUGUGAUUUGUUUAAACACAGACUGCGCAUGAAGAUUAUGCUGAAGGUGAACUCUUCACAAAUAGUGUGAGGCACUAAAGGUGAAUGAAAGUAAAAUAUUUAGAAACUAGAUUAUUGUAUUUUGUUAAAAUUUAAUGCAAUUUGAUCUAAUCUUGAAAUUGGAAUCUAAUUCUAUCCAAUCAGUUUUCCUCUGAGUAUUGAAUAAAAUAUAUUGAAUCGUUGCUAAUAAUUGACGAAGUGAAAUCUGAAGAGGAAAAGAUAAAAAGUUUUCCAAUUGAAAAACUUUUAGGUUGGUUUGAUGAAUUAAAAAUGGAAAGAAUAGAUCUUAAUUAGUUUUAUUGUAAAAAUGAGAAAAUGUUUAUAAUCCUUUUAAAAUUGGGAAAUUUACAAAAAUAACCAUAAAAUUUUUGUUAUUUUCACAAUUAAUCCUCUCAACUUUUUUCUAUCAACAUUAGCCAAACACACGCUUUUCUCCCCAAAUUACCCUUCUGAACUUGAUCGAGAGUUUCGGAACUGCGAGUCAUGAGUGAAUUUGACGACAGACUGCCUGUCGCACGAAGGUUGGUGCGACAGAUUGCAUGUCGCACCAAAACUUAGAGCGACAGAUUGCAUGUCGCACCAAAACUUAGAGCGACAGGUGCCUGUCGCACGAAGCUUGGUGCGACAGACAAUUUUGGCCACGGUGUUGGUGCAAUAGGCUGGUGCGACAGGCAGCCUGUCGCACCAACAUUGUUUUCUGGAAUGCUUGCCUGUCGAUACCUCUCUAUCAUGCAGCAUCUCUUCUCUCUUCUCCUCCGACGUGUUUUGAAGAAUAUAUACGCGACUCACACAAAGUCAUGCGCUGGAAUGAUUCAGCAGGCGAAGAGGCUUUCAACGCCGCGAAGCGCCGGUACUGGGCAAAGAUCAAAGGGCUACCGUUCAAAAUACCUCUGCCAAGUCCGGACGAAUACAUUGAUCAAGUUAAAUGGAACGUCCCUAACUGUAGUAGUAGUAGUAGUAGCAGCAGCAGCAGCAGUAGUAAUGUUAUUGAUGAUGCUGAGGUUUUAGAUGGUUUGGAUGAAGCUGCAUGGGUGGAACGAGAACAAGAAGAAGAGAAUCAUGUGCUGCAGAAGAGUAGUUUCGAGGUUUCGUUUCAUCAGAUAAAGCCUACGGGUUGGGACGAUGAUUACGUCGGCCAUGAUCGGAGAUAUCAUUCGCUCACGGGGAUGAUGGUCGGAGAAUGAUUACAUACAUACAUAAUACAUACAUAUAUAUAUAUAUAUAUAUGCAUGUGUACAUGCAUGGUUGCUAAAAUAAUGGAGAUACAAAUGCAUGAUGGUGACAAGCUGCUAAUUCAUAAACUGUGUACGUAUUUUGUGUAGGGUUUUGAGUUUUUUAAGUACGUACUAAAUUACUCUUAUAGGAAAUAUAUGGUUGUUGAUUGAUUAGGCUACUUAACUGCGUCUAACUAGCUAGGGCUCAAAGUAAUCCAUAAUUGCUACGGGUUUGGAGGAAAUUAAAUGAUGUAAUUAGUUGAGUGUGAAGCCAUCUGAAGAGAAAGAACAAAAAUAAUUUAAAAACAAAAAAAGAAAAUGAAGGGAGAAUCCACAGCCAAACUGGGAGUUUCACUUUUGUGAAAGUUUCUGAACCAGGAAAUAGGGAUUGGAGACUUUCUCAUGUUCAUUUGCGGUGAAGUAUCUUAAUUAUCAAUAUAUACUGUUAUGUUGGCAUAUCCGUAUGGAGAUAUGAUGACAUAUUAUUCUAAUUUGCGAAGGAUUGAUGACAUCCCUUGUAAAGAAGACACGAUAAAUGGAGAAGCAGGACACACGAUACAUUAUAAAACUUCGGUUUGGGAGAGAUGAGAGAGAGAGAUUGUUGGGGGAGAGAUAAGAAAGAGGGGUAUUUUGGUCUCAAAGGCUUUUUUAUGGCUAAUGUUGAUAGAAGUUUGUUUGGGGGGUUAAGAUGGAAAAAGCCAAAAUUUUUAUGGCUAUUGAUGUAAAUUUCCCUUUAAAAUUUCAUAAAAUCGUAAGAAAAUUAUUUUCUCAAAUUAUUGCAAGAUUCGUAUGACAAUAAGAGAAAUAACAAAUUAAUUAUUCAAUUUGGGCCAAAAUGACCAUCUGGAGAAGAAGUCAAUGGGAACACUCUUAUCCUUCCCUAUCCGACACUCAACCAGCCAGCAAUAGUCAUUGUUUAAAAACCAUACCUGACAAAUAAUAAAUAAACAAGAUAAGCAUAAGCAUUUUCAUAAGAUCAAAGAAAUAAAGAAACCAACACCAAUUUGUCAAUAAAGAAUAACAAGGGAACACUUACAGCUGAUGGUGCAUAACUGGGAGAAAUUGAUGGAAUAGGCCUGCCUUCACUUCAGUGCUUAUUGCCAGCAGAAAUAAAGCCAUGACGACAAAAUUGAGACUCUUGAAGUGGGAUUGUGCUUUAAUUUAAGAGCAGCUUCCACAAAUUAACAGAGCAUUGAGUAAAUCAUGCAAUUAAUUUAUUUUAAUUUAUUUAAGUUUGUUUUUAAUUAAUAUCAUCGUUGAUGGGAGGUGUAAGAUUAAACACAUGCAUCAAUUGUAUUAAAUAUAUCAUAUAUGAUGCUCUUAAUUAGCCAGCUAUUAAUUAACAAAUACACACACACACACUUAUUAAGUUAGUUUCUUUUGCCUAAGUUCUGUUCAAUUUGAAUAAUUAAUGACCGACGUGAAUCAAAUAUUUUAAAUUAGAUUGCACUGGCGAAUUAGAAAUGAAAAAUAUAUAUAUUAUAUUUUAAUUUGAUUUAUUGUAAAAGUGAGAAAUGUUUAUAAUCCUCUUAAAAUUUCAUAAAAUCCUAAGGGAAUUAUUUUACCCAUCCGGAAUUGUUUAUUUAAGUGAAAUAUUAAGCCGUGUUUGUGACAUUUUUGAAAAAAAAAAAUUGAUAAUGCCAAACAUACGAAUCUGGGGUAUUAAUUAAAAGAAAACGGGUGUUACGUUCCUUUAAAUAAGAUGUAUGUGUCUAUCUCGACAUUUGAACCAUUUAAAUUUGUUUUUUUAUCUUUCUUUUGAUUUAAUUUCUUGUUUCUGCAUGCCGUGAUUGAUCAUUUUCUUGAUUAGGGCUUCAUAGAUUUAAUAUUUAUUGAUCAAUUAAUUAAGGUUUUGAGAGUGUUUGAUUCAAGUGUUAUCAUUCAAUUUUAAACAGAACAAACAUUUUUUUUUUUUAAUUAAAACAUAGUUUCAAUUUCUCUAUCAUUGUUCAUUGAUAGUUAUUACAGAACGCGUAUGAAAUAAGAGAAAAUUUUCAACAAUAAUUUGACAACCAAAAAAUAAGGAAACCAACACCAAUUUGACAAAUAAUGCAUAACAAUGAAUACUUACAGGUGAUUGUGAGAAUUUGAUGGAAUAUGCCUGCCUUCCGUGUUUAUUGCCGGUAGAAGCAAAGUCAUGACAAAAAAAACUGAGAUCUAUAUAUAAAUACAUAUAUGCAUGCAUGUAAAAAUCUUUAUAUAUAAAUCCAUAUAUGCAUGUAUGUAUUUAUUUAUUUAUUUCCUUAGAGGGGUGGACAAAAUCUAAAUUAAUUUUAACCUCUACUUUUUUAGGAUUCAAACUCGAGUGAUUAGCUAAAUAAAAUUGUUUGAAAACCACUUCGCCAAACACCAAGUGGUUUAAAAAUAAUUCAUAUGUUAAUAAUAAUUUGCUACGCAAACUCAUAACAGUUAUUUACAAACACUAAUAACUAAGAACAAAAAAAUAAAAAUUUAGUUAUGAUUGAUUGAAAAAACUUGAUUUGUGUAAUUUGUUUAACCGUAUUAGGAUUAAUUUCAUCAAUCAAACAAAAAUCGAUAUAAAUGUGCUAAUAUGUAUGGCUUCUAACAAAAAUUAGCAUAACAUUGUAUAGUAGAUUAGUAGUUAAAGAAAUAUUAGGAUUUAGGAAGAAAGCUUUCUCUUUCUGAAAAAAAAAAAAUUCUUUGCAAUUGAAGCGUUCAUUUCCACUAACUUAAAUUACAAAAUAAAAUAGAAAGCAAAAAGUUGAUUAUAUAUAGGUUGUAUGUGAUAAAAAAAUUAUAAAGUAAUUGAUAUGCCACAGCAAUUUAGAUUAAUCAAGUGCAGAUAUAGCCUCCAUGCCUGAUGCCUCCAUUGCAAUUGGUUUUGGGUCUUUUUUUGCAAAGAGAUUUUGAGUUUAAAAAAUGAAAUAUUUAACCACAAAAAAAACCUAAUUUCCAUGGAGGAAAGGAAAAUAGUUGAUAAGAAAACUAAGCAAGCUAAUAAAAAAGAAAAAGAAAAAGAAAGAGAGAUUGUUUAAUUUGGUUAAAACAAGAAUUUUUGAAAGUUCAUGGAUGAAAACAUAAGGUAUCCUGAUAUUUAUAAUCAAAUCAUAAAUUAAAAGAAUUGUGUGGUUUCCAAAUAUGAAAUUUGCAAAAAAAUUUGAGGUUACGGUAUUCAUCGUUGAUGCUCGAUUUGCAUAUUGUCGUGGGAACUAAGUUACUUUCAAGUGUAAGAUUUAAAUUAACGCGUUAAUUAUAUUGAAUUAGAGAAUAAAUUAAUGGAGCAAUUAUCAAAAUUCAUUUUAUUUAUUAUCAAACAAUAAUGUAAGAAUAAUAUAAAUGAAUAACUCAAUCCUGGGAAGUUACAGACAAGCUAGCCUUGAGCAUUUCUUGCUCAAUUUUCAAAUUUUCGUAAGCAGCUUUUGCUUUGCUAAUAUGUAAUUUUGUAGUCAAUGACAACAAAAAUGUUAAAUUUAAGUAAAGUUUUUAUUGGAUGAGAUUAAUUUUUUUUCCUUCUUUAAAUGCUUCAAUUGGUUAAUUAUAUGAUAGGUCAUCUACAUUCUAGAUUUAUAAGUAAUAUAAUACAUAUACAUACAUACAUACAUACAUAUAUAUAUAUAUAUAUUUCCGACAUAUCUUUUAUAUGGUAGAUAUAUGAAUGGCAAGUCCUAUAAUAUUUUAAAACAUGUCAUGUAUAUUGAAAAUAUAAAUAAACUUGUCAUACUUUUUAGGUAAAUUGUAUAAGAUGCCAUCGAUGUAUAAAUGAAUAAAUGAUAAAUCAUACAUUUGUAGCUCCAGAGUAAAAAUCUAAUGACAAGCAACUUGUCAUACAUAAUGUACGUACAUUUACAACAUGUCCUCUAUAUGAUAAAUUUUGUUAACGUCAACCAAUUUAUCACAGAAAAAAGAAAUUGCAUACUAUUAUUCUAAAGAAUAGACCUCCAAGAAGGAAAAUUCAUUUUCAUCUUUUUUCUUUGAAGAUAAUUAAAAGAGAUAUUUGAUAUCUGAUCGAGCAAGUUUAUAUGUGAUAUGUGUAUAUUUUUACAUGACAAGUCUUACACUAAGUUAAAUAAAAUUUUUAUUUGUUAAUUUAUUAUUAUAAAUAAAAUAAUUUUAAGUAUCUAAUCACUAUUAAACUGAUAUAAUUUAUUAAUCUAUUAGCCCAGAUUAUCACACAAGACAAAACAGAAUAUAAUCUAAUUCAGUCCAAAGUAUACCUAACAUACUAUGAGAUUAUUAACUAUUUAUUUACUAACCAAAAUAACUCUGAAAAUCAGGGUCUUAUUAAUGAUAACCAACAGACUGCUAAAUGAACAAAAUAAGAAAACAACAACUAAUUAAAUCAAAAUCACAAUUUUCAAUUUUUCAUAUCAAAAGUUCUAGAAAAGUCUAAAAAUUAAGAUCUUGGACAAGAAAAUAUCUUACUGACCCAUGCACCAAAAAUUAAAGCUUUUUUCAAAUAUCUGCUUCAUCAUUUAACAAUCAUCAUCAAUCAUUGUACAAGCCUACAAGGUCAUAUCAAAUAUUUCAGUUGAUGUCAUAACUACCGCCCUCGUUUCCUCCAAUUAUAAAAAUAGGACCCAUUCUCUCUAUAUCAGCGUCACAUAUUUAUAAAUUUGUAGGUCCAAUAAUCAAUUGCUGGUUCUGAUACAAUAAUGUAAAGGCUUUGUUUUGUUAUUGUCAUAAAGUUAUUGGCUUUUUUUUUUAUAAAAUUUCAAUUAAUCGAACAAUUUCUAUUGAGAAAAAAAGAAGAGAAAGCAAGAGGAAGUUGUCUUUCAAUAAAAUUGUGUCCCUGUAUGAAGUUUUAUAAUUUCAAUAUAAUCCAUCAUAUACUGAAAUUACAAAUAAUAAUAGUAGUAAAAUUAUUAAACCUUCAUCUUAUGAAAAAGAGAACAACACUGUUUUGAUAAAUAAACUUCCAUAUGUUGAUUUACUACCCAAAGAGAUAAUAUAAAAGUGAAAUCACAUUAAAAUAAAAGAAAGGAGAGAAUUUAUUUCAUAUAAACUUCAAGUUUAUUUGCCUAAAUAAAUACUAAAACCUCAAUAUUAAACCACCUUAUUUCAGAUGCCACAAAAAAAAAAGAGCUCAUGAGAUAAUUAAAACCUCAAAAUCAGCAAACACAAGAGGUUUAUUUUAUUUUUAAUUAUUAAUAUUAAGAUGGCGGAUUCAUUUAUUUGGUCCUCUGUCGCUCUCCAUUUCUUCUUUCCUCCGUCACUUCGGAUCCUUAGCUUUGCUUCACCAGCUGUUAAUUAACAAAUAAACACACUUAUUACCAAAAUAUUUUUGUUUUAUAUUCAAAGAAUUAGGCAAAAAAUAAAGUAAAUUAAUAACAAAAAUACCUGAAAGUAAGAAUCAAGCUUAGCCUUGAGAGUUUCUUGCUCCACUUUCACUUUCUCCAAAGCAGCUUUGCCUCUGUAAAUACAUGUAUAAUUUUGCGCUCAGAUGAUGAUGAAAAUUUUAACUUCUAUUUUCACACUGUAAAAUAAAAAAAUAUAUAUAUAGGUAAACAAAAUGAAAUAAUAAAAAAAAAAUUACCCUUCUAUAUUCCCAUUAUCGCAGCAUGCUCUUGCCUUAUUCACUUCAAUGAGCACUUUGCUGGCACCAAUGCUGAAAAAUAUUUAAACAUAAAAGAAACAUAAUGAUUCCAAUAAAUUGUAGAACAUUUUAAAUUAUGCAGCUACAAUAUUUAUUGCAGUAACAAUAACAUUAUGAAUAUUUUUAGAUUUUUUUUCCCCUUUACCUCACACAUAAUCCUUUAAAGUCAUGAAGACACUUCUCCAAUGCAUUGUAAUCAAUGGGGUCUUUGACGCUUUACAGUAAAAAUGAAAUUUGUUAAUUCUUUUUAUUAUUAACCAUUGAGAUUUAUUUUAUAUAUAUGUAAUGAAAAAAAUUUAUUUUAUUUUUAACUUACAAUUCCUCCUCGAGGGUGGCUAUUAUUUUGGUGGUUUCUUGGAAAUACAAACUAACUGUGUCCUCAGCAAAGGCAGGAUCAUCUUCAGUAGCCAUACUUUCCAAUUGAAUAAAUUGAUCGUUGAGAAUUUCCUACGAUGAUCAUAAAAUAUUUUUGCCAUUAAUGUAUUAAAAAAUAAGCAAAGGGUAAUUGAAUUUGAAGAAUAUAUUAUAUAUCCCAAGAGAAUUGAACAAAGUUAAUUACCUCAUCCAAGAAGCUUUGCCUCAUUGUGGCAAUUUGUUGAUGCAAAGGAUUGUUUUCCAUUUUCAGAAAAAACAAACAACACAAUCAAGAAGUUGAUUCCACUAAAAGCAGUUUUAAAAGCACUUUGCUAAAUUGGGAAUAAAUGCAAAAUGUAGGAGCAAAGUGUAUUAUGGAAUUGAAAUACAUAUAUUAUAUAUACCAACGAAAGGGAAAAAAAUUAAAUUAAAUCAACUAACAUAUCAUGAAAACUGUAUUUUGCAUGACAAAAAUUAUCACACAGGAUGAGAACCAAAAAGAAAACUAUCAAUUCUUGUGAAGUUUGUGAAUAUUUUAAGAAUAAUUUAUUUAAAGAUGAAUAUUUUGUAUAAAAAUCAUAUAUCCAACUUGUUUUACAAAGACAACUCCACUUGACAUCAACUCUCAUAAUCCAAAAUAAAAAGUACAAGGCUCUGGCUAAGUUACGUUUAACGUAACUUAUGCUAGGCACAGCAACAGUGUAUAGUGGUGGAACCUGCUACUGUUGCUGUGUCUAGCGUAAGUUACGUUAAACGUAACUUAACCGGCUCCAAAGCACAAUAUUAGUGUUGUCAAUCAUUUUUCAAAUUGAAGUUUUGAGAAUGACAAUUAACUUUCUAGGUGUUUUACCUGUUUCUAUUUAACAAAUAUAUUUUAUUAUUUUCGAUCUUUUAAAAACUAAUUCCAAAAAAAAAAAAGCUCUUGUACUCUUUCUCUAAUGUUCAAAACUUAUAUUUUCGAAAAAAAAUAUUUUUAUUUUCAAAAUAAAUUUAAAAAAUCAUUAGAAAGAAAGGACACACCUUCAGAAAAUUAGUUGAGCAUGCUCAUUCCACGUUCAUAAUCUUAACGCCAUGAAGAUAAGCAAUCGCAUCACAUUCACAAUUUUCACAAAUGUUCUAGAAAAUCCCAGAAAGUACUGAAAAAUAUCUUACGUACCCAUCACAAAACAGAAGCUUUAAAAAUAUCUCUCUCUCUCUCUCUCUCAUCAAUCAUGAUAACUAACUAACUGCCACUUCAAAUAUCUCAAAAUAUCAUUAUCACCCCUCUCAAGUUCCUCUUAUCUCACUCUCUCUCGUCAGUUAAUCUAAUGAGAUAGUAAACAGCUGAAUAAUAAGAUUUUCGGGUCGCCCGGCACAAAUUUACAUCUUUACCCUCAUCAUUCAUAAAAAUAACUGAAGUAAGUAUCUUAACAAAUAUCUCCAUUAAUAUCAUCACUACCCCUUCAAGUACUCCAAUGAUUAAAAUAGGACCCCUCUUCCAAUCAUUCUCUCUCUUUGUCCCCCUUAUAAAUAUCUUACUCCCUACUCGCUCGCUGUCACUCGCUUCAAUUUUCAAACUUUCAAUUUCUUGCAAUUUAGUCCAAAAAUUUUCACGCGUACACGCGUCCACUCGACAAACUAAUGGACGAGCUCUUGACGCCGAUCAUGGACGAGGAGUCGCCAAGGCUCCUGCAGACCAUUUCGGAGCACGGCGGAUACGCCUACGUCGGCAUGGCGGCUCAGGCGGCGGCGGACAUACGCGCGGCGGAGGCGGCGCGUGACUUGGCGUGGGAGCAGCUGCAUUCGGGGCCAUGGCACUCGGUGUUACCGGUGUGGCGCGACGCGUACUCGAUGGCGUGCUUGCACGGGGCGAAGUACCAUUAUCGGAACGGCGAGUUUAAGGAGGCGCUUAGGGUUUUGGAUAUGGGAGUGCUCAUGGGCGGGCCGGUUUUGCGAAAGGAUUUGGAUUCUGCUAUCGAAACAUUGUCGUUGAAAGCUAGAGAAGGUGAAAAUGAGCGUUUUGGUGAAAGAGAAGCUAAUCGAUUAGUCUCUGAGGAGUUUAAUACAGCUAAGGUGAGGUUCGUUUUCUUAAAAAAAAAAAAAGGAAAUUCAAUCUUUCAUGUGUUUAAUUUAAUAAUGCACUAUGAUUGUGUAUGUUAUCUGGAGAUACAUUGAGCUUAGAGAUAGCUUUCCUGUAAUUCAAUUGAAGCCAUGCUUAAAGUUGCUGUGAUUUCGCUUAAUUUCGAAUAUUAUAUGACACAUUACAGUUUAACCUUUCAUGGGUGGCACUUAAUGUUCCUUGAAAUCCGAAUUUUUUUCUUUGCAGUAAUGCUGAAAUUUAUUUGACAGAAUAGAGUUUUCGAAAGAUUUGGACUCAAGAAGUCUUGAUCAAAUAGUACUACAAAGCUUCUAUAUUCGUAAUGAAUUUACCCAGCUGAUUUCUAUUUUUGCCACGAAGAUCAGCACUUUAUAAUAGCUUGUCUUUUUAUCUGGUUUGCUGUGUGAAUGGGAUUGUGUUGGCUUGUUGCGUGUUGCUGGGAGAGAAAUUAAUCGGUGAUAAACCAUUGAUGGUGCUUCUUUUGAACUUGUAGGCGCUUCAGGUUUUGCCAAAUAGGUCUCUAUCUUGUAAGCUUGUGGUGAAGAGGUCUGCUUUAUCGCUGGAGGGAUUUUUAAGUGAAUAUUUCCUAUCAGGUUCUCCGGUUAUAAUUACUGAUUGUAUGGCACAUUGGCCAGCUAGGACAAACUGGAAUGACUUGGAUUACCUUAAAAGAGUUGCUGGUGACCGCACAGUUCCAGUUGAGGUAAUUAAUCCUUCUGUACUUUUGAUAAAUUUCAGAAGAAUCAAUAAAUUGCUAAGGAUGACAUUUUCUUUUAGUUUUGGCUAUUAAUUGUCUGUAUAGUAAUCUAAUUCAAUGUGGUAAUUUUCAUAUGUUACCAAUUCACUUAGAGAGCAACAUGAUAUUAGUUCCUUCAUAAGUUUAACAGAGAAUGAAUUGUACAGCUUAUCUUUGGAGCCAUGUGAUAAGUGAGCUUUGUUAGACUUAAGUUGAAAAUACAAGCUUUGAGCAAGAUGUGUGAGGAAACUUGAGGAGAUGAUGAUUAAAUGUAAUUUAAAUUAUUUUAGUAGUGUAAAUUUCAGGAUUUUAGCAUAUGAAAGCCAUCAAAUUGGGAGGCUAGAUUUCCUGGUGAUGAGUUACAAUUUUUUAGACAAGGCUUGUUAGGCUAUUGAACAGGCAUAAUUAAACAGUGAUAAGUCUAGCAAGGAUUGGUAAACAAUAGGAGGCUGGUAUAGAGUGAAUGGUGAUGACCACCACAUACCUACUAAAAUCAGAUGAGCCAUAGAUCAUUAUCUUCCCCACUGAAUUGUUCUUUUUAAAUUAAAAUGUGCCAUUAGGUCUCAAAAACUUCCAUAUCCUUUGUUGUUAACUUAGUCAAAUAUCCAUGGUAUGUUGAAUGCAGUUUCCUCUUUCAUUCUCUCUGUCUCUCUUUUAAUUUUUUGCUUUUUCAAUUUCUACUUUUUUCUGGCAAAAGAGCUUUUGCCAUUGCAUUUUUACUUCACUAAAUGCUUGAUUCAAUCACCUUCUUCUUCCUUCUUCUUCUGCUUUUUUUUUUAAUUAACUGAAAACUGGUAAAGUUGAAAUGCUUUACAGGUUGGUAAAAACUAUUUGUGCCAAGAUUGGAAGCAAGAGCUGAUCCCCUUCUCCCAAUUUCUUGAAAGGAUUCAAUCGAAUGGCAGUUCUGCUAGUGUCCCUACUUAUCUUGCUCAGCAUCAAUUAUUUGAUCAGGUAUGCAUUCAUCUGAUCAAAUAUUACAGCCGGGAAUUAGUACAUCUAAAGUUCUCAAUGGUGAAACUUAACUCAUUGGUGAUUUACUCAAACGGCAGAUUAACGAACUACGGAAUGACAUUUGUAUUCCUGACUAUUGUUUUGUUGGUGGUGGGGAGUUGAGGUCUCUUAAUGCUUGGUUUGGUCCAGCCGGAACUGUGACGCCCCUGCAUCAUGAUCCACACCAUAAUAUACUUGCUCAGGUAUCUCUGUAUUGUGCAUUAUCUCAACGUACAUCUACUUUUAGGAGGUUGUGGUUAAACUCUUUACUCCUGGUCUUCUGUUAUUAUGUCUGCCAUUAAGAUUUCAAAUAUUGCUAAACUCUUUAACUUUUUUGCAGUACCUGUGUAACAACUUGUCAUUCUUUUCAUAGAUUAAGUGGCCAACGCCUGAGAUCAAAUAUAAGCACGUAUUCCUGUUCAAUUAGCCGGUGGAUUCUUGUUCUUUUUCCUAUACUUUCUCUCCCCCAAAACCCCCCGCCCCCCCAGGCCAAAAUAUAUUCACCCUUUCAUCAAACCCUGUGGCCUCACUAUUGUCCCCAUAGAUAUGGAUAGAUUAAAUGCUGCUGGAUCAGACGGCUGUGGGCAGCGAAUUAUUUAAUUAUCUUGUUAGUACUAAUUUGUGUUUAUUCGCAUCCUUGGAUAAGUGCUACAGCUUCAUUUUUUUCAAAUUUUAUGUGCUUCAUAAAUCCAACAAUAUGCUAGGUCUAUGAUUAGUUUUCUUAUUGGAGAUCAUUUACUGGAUAAGUUCCAUUCCUGAAUAUGCCUGUCCGGUGUUUCUUGCAUACUUCAUUAAUAGACAUGUGUGGAUACUUGUGUGGUUUGUUUAUACGAUUACCAUAUCUACUGAUUCAGGCUUUUUUUGGCUGAAACAAUCCAUUCCUUUGCCUCUUCAUUUUCAGGUUGUUGGUAAAAAGUAUAUUAGACUUUACCCAGCUUCAUUGUCAGAGGAACUUUAUCCAUACUCCGAAACCAUGCUUUGCAAUUCCAGCCAGGUAGCUAUUAACUUGAAUUGUAAGACUUAGUCUACAGUAAUAUGCCUGUUCUUUGUAUACUAAUGCUGUAAUUGUGAAUCUAAAAAAUAUCCUCCUGCUCUAUUUGAAGGUUGAUCUAGACAACAUAGAUGAGACAAAGUUUCCAAAGGUGCGUGACCUAGAAUUUUUUGACUGUAUAUUAGACGAAGGUGAAAUGCUUUACAUCCCACCCAAAUGGUGGCACUACGUACGCUCUCUUUCUAUAAGUUUUUCAGUUAGCUUUUGGUGGAGUGAUGGUGGAAGUUCAACUGCAUACUCGUAACAAAUCGUUUAUAUGCGUGCUAAGUUGUUUCUGAUAGAGAUCUGGGUACAACAAUAUUAGAUAUAAUCUUUAUACAAACAAAAGGAGCAGAAUUCAGUGAUGGUUUAGAGUGUAUUAUCAUCAUCUUAUAUAGGAACAUUUUGAUUGUUAGUUGAUUGUAAUCAACUACGAGAUAUUUGUAUUGUAGAAAUCUGUAACAUUUUCAAAUAUCAUUUCAGCUUUUCUGGUCUGGACUUGACCAUUUACUAUUUGCAGUUUUAGCAACAAUAAUGUUUUGACGUUGCUUCAGAAUGCUUGAUCAUUAACAAAUGCUUUGAACUAAUGCUUGCAAUCAUGCUCUCAAGCAAAUGCGGAUGCUGUCAAAUGAAAUAUUCAUCCUUCUGAUGAUCGAGAUAGUGGUAUGAUUUGAUAAAUUUCUUGGAAUUGUAAUGGGUUGCCUGAUUGCUUCGAUUAUGAUUGUGAAAAUGGCGAAAUGUGAUGGUGAAGUUAAAAAAGAGUGAUGGAGUUGCCUUUGUUAUUAUAAAUUAAAAAGAUUGAACCAUACCCAUGAUUGUGAGACUUGGAGAGUUAUGUGGGGCUUUAACUUUAUGUUUUGAUGUUUCAAUGAAUCUUCUUUAACUAUAAAAUCUUAUAUUCAGCAUCAUCAACUCCACCAGUGACUACUUUAAUUUAUAGUCUGAAUAUUUUAAAAAAUUAAGUUGACUUUCUAAUGAUCUGAUGGUCGAUAUUCCUAGCAGUAUCGUAGCAUUGAUGUUUCUUCUGUAAGUUAGAAAAGAAAGGAAGGGAACUUCAAAGUCCAAUUUCCCUUCUGGAAGAACAAGAAAAAGUGAAAACCCACCUACCCAUUACGUUUGUAGGACUAGAAUUUACAUAUACAUGGACCAAUAAAAUAAAGGGUUAAUUUUGUCCUGCCCCCAAAUGUUUCAACAUUUUUCGCCACGCACCCAUAUGUUUCGAAAAUACUCACUUCACACCCAAUUCCGUUAUUUUGACCGUUUAUUCUAAAGGUCAAAGGGCAAAUUUGGAAAUUCAUAUCUUAAAUAUUAUUUGAUGAUGAUAAAUUAAAUUUAUUUGAUAAUUUAAUUGAUGAAAUUAUUAUUAAUUACCUUUAAAUAAAAUUUUUUAAUGUAAACAUUAAUUAUUAAAUUAACAUUUUAUCUCAUUUUAUUUUUCUCUAAUUCAAAAUAAGGGGUAUUUCGGACAUUUACUUAAAUUUCAAAUAGCUCCGUUAAACAUAACGGUCAAAUUAACAGAAUUGGGUGUAGAGUGAGUAUUUUCGAAACAUAUGGGUGUGUGACGAAAAAUGUUGAAAUAUUUGGGGGCAGGACAAAAUUAACCCUAAAAUAAAUGGUAAAAAAAUGUACUUUCUGACCAUCUAUAUGGAUCAUGUAUAUACUCUAUGGGUCCAGCUAUAAUGCCUGUUGUUUCAUACCUAUUUUUUUGUUUUUUUUGUGAUCUAACCAUUGGAUCAACCAAGAGUUGCAAAGGCUAUUCCAAUCGUUAGAAUGUUAUUAUUUAGUUAUUAACGAUGUGGUCUCUUAUGUUUACUAAAAGAAUAAGAAAAUAUUAAAUUAUAAAAUUUUGACACAUUGGUCCGUUAAAUAUUUUAUUAUCAAAGGUAAUUUAGUAAACGAACAUAUUUAUAUAUUAAAAAUAUGGAUGGAUUAUUUUAACUUGCUAAAAUACUCUCCACUUCCAUUUACUUAAAAUACCAAUUAUAUUUUCAUAAUACUAUUUUGUAUUUAGUGUAACACAAAAUUAGAUAAGGUUUUAUAUAAAUUUUGACAAUAUUAAAAUGGAAAAUAAAUAAAUAUUAAAUAAAUGCUUGGAUAGUCAUUUAAAUUCAUUAUAGAGUUUAUAAAUAAUAUUUUCAAAAUAAUAAAAUUCUAUAUGUAAAUUUGAGAUUAUGUAAAAUUACUUAUACUUUAUCUCACGUAUGAAGCCGAUCAAUUAUUUAUUUAAUAUGAAAAAAAGUAAAUUAUAUAAUAUUUAUUCCAUCACUUAAAUUUAGAAUUAUAAAGAAUGAAACUUAAAUUUAAAAUUGAUUGAGAAGGAGAUAGAGAGAAUAAUUUUUUUAGAAUUUUAAAAUUAUUAUAUUUUAAUUGGGUUUAUUACAUAAAAUUAUUAAAACUUAUAGUUUUUAUUAUUUAUAGAAAAAAAUAGGGAUUGUUGAAGAAAAUGCCAAAUAAACUUUUUAGAAUUUUGAAAUUAUUAUAUUUUAAUUGGGACUUAUUGUAUAAAAUUUUUAAAACUUAUAAUUUUUAUUAUUUAUAAAAAACUACAGGGACUACUAAAAAAAUACCAAAAUGGUAUUUAGUACAACGGGAGUAAGAUAGUUUUGCCCAAUAUAAUAAUAGAGCUUUAUUAGGUCAUGUCCAAUAAAGCAAAAUCAAAAGAAGCUGCUUGUGCACGGCAUUAGCUCUAUUUCUAGAAGCUGACGAAAGGCAAAGUUUGUUUUGGUAUAGUCUUGGUCUGGUCGUUUGUUUUAUUUUAUUUUAUCUUAAUUAUUAUAUUAUAAUCUAUUGAUUUUAAAAUCAGUAGCCUGCUCUUAUCCAUUGGAUUUGUCAAGCAAAACUCAAAAAUUUACACCAAAUACAACCUAUAACUAUUCCACGCUUAUAUUAAUUUAUACGAGAGGAUUAGUCUUCAUGAUUUGUCUCAAUCAUGGUCCUGUUGAAGAAAACAAAGUUUAAAUAUAAAUGAAAUUUCAAAGUUGGAAGAGUGGUGAAGUUCAGUUGAUAAGACUUAAAAGUGAAAGGGACAAUUGCAUGACUUAAUGCAAUUUGCAAUCAAAAAUAGUAAAACCCCAUAAUUAAGCUAGAAAAUAUAACACGUGAAUUUCCAAUCACUAGUAGCUAUUAAUGAAAAAAAAAAAAAAGGUAAAUUUUACAUUACCCUCUAGUUCCAAGUUAGCAAAAAGCAACUUGCAUCAAACGAUCAUAAUCUGGAUUUGCUCAACUUCGAAUUUCUGUAGAGUGCUUUUUCUCCUUUAGAUUAAAAUGUAAUAUAUGUAUCUAAACUGUAAUAUAUAGGUUGAAUACAACAAUUAAAAAAUAAAAGGGUACAUGCAUCAAGAUGCAGCGACUUCUCAAUAAACAAGAAAACAAGCUAUAUUUGCUUUAUAACCUUGAAGAUUUUAGUAUACUAAACGAUAAAGCUACAUAGCUCAAGCCUCAAGCUCCAUUGUUGACUCUUCCAUUGAUCUUGUUCUUCAUUGAUAUUGCAGCGCUGAGAAAAUCAUCCAUGGCUUUGACUGAAGAUCCCCUGCAACCUUCUUCAUCUUUCAUGGCAUUCUUGAUCAUCUCCCUAACUUCAGAAACUUUUCUUCUAAUUUCUUUCCCUUUGUCUGUUUCAUUCAUCACCAAUUCAAUUUUUGCAACCACAUCUUCAUGUUUUACUUCACAAGUCUUCCCUCUAGCAACCUCCACACAAACCCCCAUCUCUUGUUCUAAAAACUUGGCAUUGAAAAAUUGCUCAGCAGCCAUAGGCCAUCCAAUUAUUGGCACCCCAUGAAUCAAAGCUUCAAGUACUGAGUUCCAUCCACAAUGACUCAAAAAUGCACAUGUAGCUCUGUGUGACAAAACCUCCAAUUGGGGUGCCCAAUUUUUCAUCAAAAGACCCCUUUUUGAAUCUCUAAUUCUCUCCUCAAACCCUUCAGGUAACCAUUCACUGGCUCUAAAUUCUGAAUUUAUGUCAAAUCCAAUUGGUGGCCUAACGACCCAAAUGAAGUUUUUCCCACUAGCCUCCAAUGCCAUAGCCAAUUGCAUCAUUUGUGAUGCACUAAUAGUGUUCAUUGACCCAAAAGAUAUAUACAAAACUGAAUUCUCAUCCUUUGAGUCAAGCCAUUCCUUGCAAAACUUUAUGGAUGUUCCGCCUUCUUUGCCUGCGUUUGCUCUAUUUUCCAAUGAUAGCAAGAUUGGCCCCACUGGCCAAACUGACAAGCCUAGCUUUCUCUUCAAGUAAAUGAAUCCAAUCUGAUCAAACUCUUCAAUGGUAUUACACAAAAUCCCGUUAGAAUUCACCCACGCAGGAAAAUUUUCACCUUGAAACAAAGACCAAGAAUCUGUCCCAUCAGCCUCUAACAUAUUCAAAGCUAAUUGGGAUUUAUGAAUCCUUGAAGCCUCUUCAAAAUCUGGCAACACAAACUCAUCUGAAGUAACUUUGUUGUGAGGAAGAUUUGUCCAAAAGGAAUAGUAACAAGCCAAGCCAUAGCUACCAGAACCACUAAAAAUUGCAUGAAACACAUUAAGCUCCUUGGCAACACCACAAGUCCACCCAAAGAAAAUAUCAGCAAUGAUGCAAAGUGGAGGCCGGCCUUGAUUUAUGAGACUAGAAAUCACUUCUUUAAAAGCAGGUUUCAAAGAAGUUGAAGCUCUAAGGAGAUGAAUGACAAGAUUGUAAGGAAGGACAUCACAAUUUUCAGAAUUUGGAGGAAGGCCAUGAGAUGAGCUAUUGAAAGGAAUUUCAUGCAAGUCAAUGGAGGAGUUUGGAGGGAGAGAUGAUUUUAGUUUCUUGAUGUUUAAAGGGGUGCUGACAAAGGUUAUGCUGUAAUUUUUGUGUCUUUGUUCUAUGUGAAGGGCCAAGGCUAGAAAGGGAAUGAUAUGGCCUUGUGCCAUGAAUGGAAACAUUACAAUAUUUUCUUUGCUUUGCGCCAUUGCUGAAUGAUGAUGAUGCUGAAGAGAAGUUUGGAGAAGGAGAAUUGAGUUGAAUAAUUUGAAUGAGGUUUUUAGGUUAUUAUAAGGUUGAAAUUUCCAUAUCUUCCGUAAUGACACAUGUGUCCUUGAGUAAUCACAUUUUCGCAAAUAAGGACAGGGUUUUCUUAUGUGUAUAAAAUAUGUCCCCGAACUUACUGCAUUCAUAGAGUACCCUUUAUUGCUUUGUUACCAACUUUUGUAUUGUGAUUGCCAAAGACUAAAAAAUUCAGUGUAUGUAAUUGAUCAUUUUAAUAGGAACUACCGGACCAGGACCUGUACUACAUAAAUGAAAAUUUUAUAUCAUUUAUAUCAUUUUGUGAAAUAAUUAAAGAUUAGUGAUUUAGAUAUUUUAUUACUGAGUUCCAAAUUUUGUAGGACCUGAAUUUGAAAAAGGAGCAACAAAUGCUGAUUUUCAGGCUAGCGUCAUGGUGGGGGAAUAAAAAGUGGUUCAAUGUGAAGUUUACUGGUCAACAUGCGAUCACUGACAUUAGAACAAUAUUUUGACCCACUAUGGAAAUGAGGCCAACUCUAGGGCGUGUUUGAUAUAACUUUUGUAAAACUUUGGAAAAAUUAUCGCUUUAAUUUGGAAAAUAAAAAUAGAUAGUUCAAAAUUUUGAAGAUAAUACUUUCCUUUUACAUAAUGUUUAUUAGGCUUAACGACGUGGUGAUCGCAUUUUCAUAGCCUAAUUUAAGAUACUCAUAAAAGCUAUCACCUCAAGGAUACAUUUUGUUUUUUGAAAUAUUAUCAAUUUAAAAGCAAUUGCCUCAUCAAUUUAUAUCGUGCUGAAAAGACCUCUUAAACCACGAACCACCAUAAGACCUACGCUGUGAAUAGAAUGCUGAAUUCUGACUUGAAGAGCUCACUUUUAUCUUCAUGUUUGCCUGUCUAACGUUAUAAGGUGCCGAUUGCUUUUUUGUUGAGAUUUUUUCUUUCGAAAAAAUCUAAGGUGCUUCAGGUGCAUUAUUAUGUUUCUGUUUACUUCUUGUUAUGCAUAUAUUUCGAUCAGAUAUAUAAACAAUCGUAUAAAUGUUACAAAUGAUGAAAGAGGAGGGAGAAAUAUUUUUAGAGAGUACUUUAAACUCAUAUUUUGAACUCAUAUUUUUAUAUUAAUAAUAAACUUCAUAGGCAUUCUUUGUUUUUUUUUAAAUUUUUUUUAAGAUGCGGUGAAUCAAAAUAUAAAUUUUAACCCUCAAAUCUUUUUCAGAAAUUAAACUUGAGUGAUUAACCAAAUAAAGAUGUUAAAAGUCACUCAGCUAACUCAUGAGACUCUCAUUGAAGUCAUUUGUUGAUGAAGAGUAGUCAAUUUUUAAGCUAACAUGUGAUGAUGAUUGUAAUCUUGAUUUUAGGUUAAGGAAUAAAAUAUGCAAUUUAUGUGUUGAGUUUUUUGGAGUAAACUUACUGUAACUCAUGCGGAGUCUACAAAAUUGGUAACAUAAAAGAGAUAAAGAUAUGUCGUGUCCAUUUAGACAAAACAUAAUUGGUCGAGAGUGUGGACGACGAGAGGUUUUCAAUCAAUUUUAUUUAGCUGGCCAUCCAAAUCUAAAUCUUAAAAAAAUAAGAGACUAAAAAUUGAUUUAAACUUUAUUCAACCCUUAUCAUUUAAAAAAAAUAAUAAAAUAAAUUAUUUUCAUCUCUUCGUGACGACGAUGUUAAGGGACGUGUCCAUGACCAAAUGGCAGACCCAAUUCGUGUUUGGACGCUUUAAGUAUCCUUUCUUCGCGAAGCAAGAAAAGUCGUAGGCUUUUUAAGUGAGCCAUAGAAACACCCACGUCCGGAAAAUUUAAUGCGCAUCUGCCCCUCGAACACACACCUGUAUUAGUGUAUCGUUGGAUGUUAAUACUUAAUACAGCCGUAUAUUUUUUCCUUAAUAGAAGAUGUAUAUUGACAUCAGUUAAAUCGUUUGUUGCGCAGUCCCAUCAUUUUUUUUAAUACUUCGUACCAACUAAUUUCUUGAGAGAAGGAGAUUUAAGAGUCCAUAAUUGGACCUCAAAUUGGCCAUACAUCCUGGUAAAAUUAUUCUUAUUGUAUAUAACAAUUUAGACCAAACUUGAUAAUUAUUAGAGAAUGGAAUGUAAUCUUUAAACAUACCAUUAAUGAGUCCCCAUAACAUACGUCAAACCUGAUGAUUAUUUUAUCAAUCCUCCUCCUUCUGUGCCUUCUUCAUCAUCAACGCAGCAUCCAAGAAUUGUUCCAUGGCUUUUACAGAAGACCCCUUAAACUUUUCUUCAUUUCUAACAGCAUUCUAAAUAAUCAUCUUAACCUCAGAAGCUUUCUUUCUCAAGUCCAUUCCUUUCUCAGUCUCAUUCAUCACCAACUCAAACUUUGCACUUAAGUUCUCUGUCGAAACCUCACAACUCAUCCCUCUUGCUAUCUCCACACAAACCCCCAUCUCUUCUUCUAACAGCUUAGAAUUAUAAAACUGCUCUGCUGCCAACGGUCACCCAAUUAUCGGCACCCUAUGACUCAAAGCUUCAAGCACUGAGUUCCAUCCGCAAUGACUCAAAAAUGCAGAUAUUGACUUGUGAGACAAAAUCUCCACUUGAGGUGCCCAUUUUUGGACCACUAGCCCUUGUCCUGAAUCUUUGAUUCUUUCUUCAAAUCCUUCAGGCAGCCACUCAUUGGCUCUAAAUUCAGAGUUCAUGUCAAAACCAAGUGGUGGCUUGACUACCCAAAUGAAGUUCUUGCCACAAGCCUCUAAAGCCAUUGCCAAUUGCAUCAUUUGUGAUGCAGCUAUUGUGUUUUGUGAACCAAAUGACACAUAAAUCACUGAAUUGCAUGGCUUGGUAUCAAGCCAAUUUUUACACAACUCUGUGGAGAUUCCGUACUCUUUUCCUGCCCCAGCUCUGCUCCCGGUUGACAAAAGCAGGGACCCAACUGGCCAGACCGGUCGGCCGAGCUUUCUACUGAAAUACAUUAGACCAAUCUUGUCAAGCUCCUCUACUGUGUUAAACAAGAUUCCAUCGGCAUUCAUCCACUGAGGAAGCACUUUCUGAAAAAAUACUGAAAGUGAAUCACUACCAUCAGCAAGUCUUAAAAACUUUGUCAUCUGAGUUACAUGAAUUCUUGAAGCUUCAGGAAAAUCCGGCAAUAGAAAUUCAUCGGAAUCCCGAUGGGGUAGGUUUAGCCACAAAGAGUAGAAACAAGCAAAGCCAAAACUGCCACCUCCUACAAAUAGAGCAUUAAAAAUACCACAUUCUUGUGCUAUCUCUGCACUCCAUGCAAAGAACAUAUCUGCAAUGAUGCAAACCGGUUUAUGGCCAUUUUGUUCAUCAAUAAGACCAUUGAUGAGUUUCCUGAAAUGGGGUUUAAAUGAUAAAGUGGAUUCAAAGAAAUUUGGAAAGAGAUGAAAAGGAAGAGAAUCACUGUUUUCAGUACAAGGAGGGAGGUCAUGAGCUAUGCCAUCGAAGGGAAUUUCACGGAGGUGAAUGGAGGAGUUUUGAGGGAGAGACGAUUUGAGUUUCUUGAGGUUUGAAGGGGUGUUAACAAAAGUUAUAGUGUAUCUGUUUGUAUUCUCCAGGUGAAGGGCUAAUGCAAGGAAUGGGAUUGUAUGGCCUUGUGCCAUGAGCGGGAACAUCACUAUGUUCUCUUUUCUUUGUGCCAUUCUUGUUAAUAGGAAAAAACAGAGGUAAGUACAGGAUGAUGUAAAGAAGAUGUGCGGGGGUGUGCGAUACACAUACACGCGACUUUUAUAACAGUUGGAAGAAUUUAGCGUACGUUAAGAAUUAACCUUAAGCUAUUAUUAUUGGUUGAAACAUGUGCAUUUAAUAAAGAGAAAAUUAAAAAGAAAAUUAAUAAUAAUAAUAAUGCUGCAGACAGGAACUCUGUGAAACUUUCCUAAGCGACGUAUUAAAAAUUUGACCGCAUUACUCCAGCCAUCGACCCCAACCAAUCCAAAGUUAGUGUGAGGAGAAUUCAAACUUUUAAUCUCUUUGAAUUAAAUAAAAUAAUCUCUUUGUUUCUUGUUCUUUGAAUUCAAUAAAAUCAACUGAGUCGUCAGACAUUUUCUCCAAAUUGUUUAUUCAAUUGAGUCCUCUUGACCUCUUCGAUAAUGAUGGUAUACAAAUUGAUUUGCUGAACUCGGUUUGUUUUAUCUUUCUAUUUCUAUUCUCAUGUCAGCUAACAAACAGGGAUGGUGCUGCUGAUUUCAUUAAAGGGCCAACUGCAGGACACCUCACUCGCACUAUUUUCCAACCCACUUACUCACACUUUUUCAGAAGAGAUAAGAUGGAAUACAAAAGGUCCAGUCUUUUCGAACUUACCAUGUAGGAAAUUGCAUGGAAAUGAUUAAAUUGUUCAAUAAUACUUCAUAGACCUCUUAACUUUCCUCCAGAAAAAUUUAAGAAUCAUACCCCACUCCCCUUCUCUACCACUUAAUCCUCCACUUUUUCUCCUUCUGAUCCUCAUCAACAACAAUGGCACAGAGGAAAGAAACCAUAGUUUUGUUUCCAUUCAUGGCACAAGGCCAUAUAAUCCCUUUCCUGGCAUUAGCCCUUCACUUAGAGAAAACAAAUAAAUACACCAUAACUUUUGUUAACACCCCUUUGAACCUCAGGAAACUCAAAUCUUCUGUCCCUCAAAACUCCUCCAUUAACCUUCUUGAAAUUCCCUUCGAUAGCAUAGAUCAUAAUCUCCCUCCUUGUACUGAGAACACAGAUUCUGUUCCUUAUCAUCUAGUUUCCAAACUCAUUGAGGCUACUUUAUCGUUUAAGCCCCAUUUCAAGAAACUCGUCAAUGAUCUUAUUGAUGAACAAAAUGGCUAUAAACCACUUUGUAUCAUCACAGAUAUGUUCUUUGGUUGGUGCAAAGAGAUAGCACAAGAAUAUGGUAUUUUUCAUGCGAUAUUUAUAGGAGGUGGUGGAUUUGGCUUUGCUUGUUACUACUCUCUGUGGGUAAACUUGCCUCAUCGGAACAUGGAUUCUGAUGAAUGUGUAUUGCCUGAUUUUCCUGAAGCUUCUACAAUUCAUGCAACUCAGCUGGCAGAUUAUCUAAGAGUUGCGGAUGGAAGUGAUUCUUUUUCAGCGAUUCUACAGAAAGUGCUUCCUCAGUGGAUGAAUGCCGAUGGAAUUUUGGUUAACACAGUUGAGGAACUUGACAAGAUUGGACUGAUGUAUUUCAAGAGAAAAUUUGGCCGGUCGGUUUGGCCAAUAGGACCUGUUCUUUUGUCCACAGAAAACAGAGGUGGGGCUGGAAAAGAGUACGGAAUCUCCACAGAGUUGUGUAAAAAAUGGCUCGAUACCAAGCCGUACACUUCAGUUCUGUAUGUAUCAUUUGGUUCACAAAACACAAUAGCCACAUCACAAAUGAUGCAAUUGGCAAUGGCUUUAGAGGCUAGUGGCAAGAAUUUCAUUUGGGUUGUUAGGCCUCCGAUUGGCUUUGACAUAAAUUCUGAGUUUAAAGCCAACGAGUGGCUGCCUUGAGGAUUCGAAGAAAGAAUCAAAUGUUCAGGACAAGGGCUAGUGGUACACAAAUGGGCACCUCAGGUGGAGAUUUUAUCUCAUAGGUCUGUAUCUGUAUUUUUGAGUCACUGCGGAUGGAACUCUGUACUUGAAGCUUUAAGUCAUGGGGUGCCGAUAAUAGGGUGGCCAUUGGCAGCAGAGCAGUUUUACAAUUCUAAGCUGUUGGAAGAAGAGAUUGGGGUUUGUGUGGAGGUAGCUAGAGGGAAAAGCAGUGAGGUUCUGAAAAAAGACAUAGCGGCAAAAAUUGAGUUGGUGAUGAAUGAGACUGAGAAAGGAAUAGAGUUGAGAAAGAAUGCUUAUGAGGUUAGGGAGAUUAUUAAGAAUGCCUUUAAAAAUGAAGAAAAUUUUCAGGGUUCUUCAGUGAAAGCCAUGAAUCAAUUCCUGAAUGCUGCAUCGAUGGUGAAGGAGACAAUUAAUUGAUCAAAGAAUGAAGUUUUUGAUGCAUGAACCUAGCCAUUUUAAUGGUGUUACUUGAAAAUGACGCAUCUUUUUUUUCGUUUUUGGGUUUGGCCAAUCUUAUAAUAAUUGGUGGCCGGCACGGCAUUCCUCAUUAUUCGUACUCACUUUUUUUGCUAUUAGAUUAGUUUAACGUGGAUGUGUCGGUAACUUUUUGAAUGUUUGAAUAAUUUUCAAAACUUCUAUUUGAUAUCCAAAAUUUUUGUAUUAAAUUUUCUAUUCGUUCUUGUUCCAAUGCUUGUAAAAAUAUUUUUAUUUCUUAAUUUCUUCUUUCACCUACUCUAAUUUCUUCUUUCAACUACUAAAGACCUUCACAAUAUGCGAAAAGCCACUUUUUGAAAUUAUAUAUUCCAAUGUGUGCAGUAUUAUUAUUUACCAUUGAAUCAUCUACAUAAGAAAAGAUGCUAGUUUCUCUUCCUUUGUUAAUUUCUUUAUUGCAUAUUAAUUAAACAAUUAAGGAGGUUUUUGCCGUACAAUUUCUGAAAGCUUGCUCGCUUAUUGUAUGCUAACGUUGAAGCAACUGAACUUCUCAUUACUCAAGAGUGAUUCAUGGAUCUUAGAGGUUAGAAAAAUCACAUGUUCUUGGUGAUUCAUCAUUCACGUCCACUUUCUAUAGAACCAAUCAAUACCUGUCAACUAUUCCUUAAUUACACUAUCUUGUUUGGUAUUGUUUUUCAAAUAAUGUUUUUGUAUUUAUUUUGUAAUAGAGAAAUGAUUAAUUUUUUGUGGAUUUGAAAAUGUGUUUGGUAGUUUGCUUUUAUAAUAGUACUUAAAAAUAGAAAAAUAAAAAUAAGUUUGGUUAUUUGUUUGGAAAAAUGAUAAUAAUGAAAAUGAAAGGGUGUUGAAAAAGAAGUUAUAUAAUAAUGAAAGAUGAUGGGAAAAAAAAACUUUUAAAAGUUGCUAUUAAAAUAAGAAAUAUAUUUAUUCAUAUAAUUUAAAAAUAGUGUAGUUAAAUUAAUUAAUAAAUAUUUAAGUUGGCAGGUACUUCAACCAUAAAGAGACAACUUCAGCCAUAAACAAACAACACAUGAGUGACAGUUUCGAUGACUUUUCAUAAACAAAAAAAUGUAGAACAAAUUUUGCAAAUUUUAUUGUUUUCUAUUUUCAUGAAGGGAAGACACAGAACGAGAAUGAUUUGUUGUCAAAGAAUCCAAACAUUGCUGGAAAACGGUACAACCAGACAAGUUUUCCUUUGUUUUAUCUUUGAAAAACAGAAAAGACCAAUUUGGAAACAGUACCAAACAGGCUUUUGAAUUAUGAUUUAGGAUGGGAGUUUUGUUUGAUUUUGACUGAAUUAUAUGAUAAUUCAAUAAUAUUACCUCUACCUAUUUGCAUGUGGAAGUAUGGCAAUAAAAUGAUUCUUCCAAUCAAAAUAAGCCAUGUGUCAAUGGUACAACAAAAUUACCAAACAAUUUUUUUUAAAUUUGAUUUUUAGUUUUUAAAUUCUGUAGGGAUAUUUGAACCCAGUAAACUACUCGUUAAACCAUUUACUAGAUAAACUCACCCUCAUAUUUUGAAAUUUAAAAUUUUACUCAACAAACUCACAUAAAUACUCAAUAAACCCUUACUAAAUCCAAAUUGUAUAAUAAUAAUGUAUUUAUUCACUAAACCCAUUAAAUUCAUUUAUGAAUCCUUAAUGAAUAUUUCAUUGAAUUUCUUAUAUAGUUAUUCAAAAUCUAGAAAAUUCCAGUAGCCCAUCAACCACUAAAUAUAGACUCAUGUUGGCAAUGCGUAAGAAGAGGAUCCAUUCACCUCAAAAUCAAAAUAUCACCUCUCAAGUAAGCCAAAUGAUUGAUGUUUAAGAAAAGGACCACAAACCAAACAAAUUAAAGAGCAACAUCUUUCAUUUUCAGCCAAGUACUUUACAAAAACAAAAAAAAAAAAGAAGGUGGAAAGCACUAAAACAACACUAGAGGAUAUUUUUGUAGUAUACUAGUAUAAGUGGCCCAAAAAAAUAAAAAUCAUUCUUUAGUUUAUUAAGGUUUAACAAAAUUACAUUGAAUGUGAAUAUGGGUUCAAAAAGCAAAAAAAAAAAAUUCUUUUUUAUUAUAUUUUAGUGUCUAUAAUUAUAAUUUAAUUUAUAAUUUUUUUUUCUUAACUAUCCGAUAUCCGGCGACCACAUCAGGUCCUGGCUACUUCGGAUUCGAGUCGGGUGCCAAUAAAAUCCUCCCAACGAGGGCGACUCCUAAGGGUUUCAAACUAGAGAGCAAACCCACUCGAGCCACCUAAGGGGUUUAACCAGCGCCAGCAGAACCAACACCUCGUUGGUAAUUUAGAAAUAUUUUAAUCAUUAAAAAUUAUUUCUAAAUGUAGGUUUAAUGAGUAAUUUAGUGAGUUUAAAUAACCAUAGGAUGGUGAAAGUCAAACUUAAUCAUUGGUCGUUGAAAAAAAUUAAAAUUACCAAAAUGACCCCACUUCCCUUCCUUAUCACUUAUUCCUCUGCUUUUUCUCCUCCUAAUGAUCCUCAUCAACAGCAAUGGCGCAAAGAAAAGAGAAUAUAGUGAUGUUCCCAUUCAUGGCACAAGGCCAUAUAAUCCCCUUCCUAGCAUUAGCCCGUCGCUUGGAAGAAACAAACAAAUACACCAUAACUCUUGUUAACACCCCUUUAAACCUUAAGAAGCUCAAAUCAUCUCUCCCUCAAAAUUCCUCUAUUCACCUUCUUGAAAUUCCUUUCAAUAGCGUAGAGCAUGACCUCCCUCCAUGUACUGAAAACACAGACUCUAUUCCGUAUCAUCUCUUUCCAAAAUUCCUUCAAGCAUCAGCAUCGCUCGAACCCCACUUCAAGAAACUAAUCUCUGAACUUGUCAAUGAACAAAAUGGCCAAAAACCACUUUGUAUCAUCACUGAUACGUUCUUAGGCUGGUGUAAAGAGACAGCACAAGAGUAUGGUAUUUUUCAUGCUAUAUUCAUAGGAGGUGGUGGCUUUGGCUUUGCUUGUUUGUACUCGAUGUUGCUAAACCUACCUCACCGCAGCACGGAUUCUGAUGAAUUUCUGUUGCCGGAUUUUCCAGAAGCUUCAACACUUCAUGUAACACAGAUAUCUCCUUACUUACGUGCUACCGAUGGAAGUGAUUCUUUUUCAGUGUUUUAUAAGAAGUUGCUUCUUCUAUGGAAGGAUGCAGAUGGAAUUUUGGUUAACACGGUUGAGGAACUUGACAAGAUUGGACUGAUGUAUUUCAAGAGAAAAUUUGGCCGGCCGGUUUGGCCAAUAGGGCCUGUUCUUUUGUCCACGGAAAGCAGAGCUGGGGCCAGAAAAGAGUACGGAAUCUCCACAGAGUUGUGUAAAAAAUGGCUUGAUACAAAGCCGUACACUUCAGUUCUGUAUGUAUCAUUCGGUUCACAAAACACAAUAGCUGGCACAAUCCCACUUCAAGAGUCUCAAUUUUGUCGUCAUGGCUUUAUUUCUGCUGGCAAUAAGCACUGAAGUGAAGGCAGGCCUAUUCCAUCAAUUUCUCCCAGUUAUGCACCAUCAGCUGUAAGUGUUCCCUUGUUAUUCUUUAUUGACAAAUUGGUGUUGGUUUCUUUAUUUCUUUGAUCUUAUGAAAAUGCUUAUGCUUAUCUUGUUUAUUUAUUAUUUGUCAGGUAUGGUUUUUAAACAAUGACUAUUGCUGGCUGGUUGAGUGUCGGAUAGGGAAGGAUAAGAGUGUUCCCAUUGACUUCUUCUCCAGAUGGUCAUUUUGGCCCAAAUUGAAUAAUUAAUUUGUUAUUUCUCUUAUUGUCAUACGAAUCUUGCAAUAAUUUGAGAAAAUAAUUUUCUUACGAUUUUAUGAAAUUUUAAAGGGACUGCUGUACCGUACAUCCGCCUUGGCCGUACAGCAGAGAUAUGUUCUUUGCAUGGAGUGCAGAGAUAGCACAAGAAUAUGGUAUUUUUAAUGCUCUAUUUGUAGGAGGUGGUAGUUUUGGCUUUGCUUGUUUCUACUCUUUGUGGCUAAACCUACCCCAUCGGGAUUCCGAUGAAUUUCUAUUGCCGGAUUUUCCUGAAGCUUCAAGAAUUCAUGUAACUCAGAUGACAAAGUUUUUAAGACUUGCUGAUGGUAGUGAUUCACUUUCAGUAUUUUUUCAGAAAGUGCUUCCUCAGUGGAUGAAUGCCGAUGGAAUCUUGUUUAACACAGUAGAGGAGCUUGACAAGAUUGGUCUAAUGUAUUUCAGUAGAAAGCUCGGCCGACCGGUCUGGCCAGUUGGGUCCCUGCUUUUGUCAACCGGGAGCAGAGCUGGGGCAGGAAAAGAGUACGGAAUCUCCACAGAGUUGUGUAAAAAUUGGCUUGAUACCAAGCCAUGCAAUUCAGUGAUUUAUGUGUCAUUUGGUUCACAAAACACAAUAGCUGCAUCACAAAUGAUGCAAUUGGCAAUGGCUUUAGAGGCUUGUGGCAAGAACUUCAUUUGGGUAGUCAAGCCACCACUUGGUUUUGACAUGAACUCUGAAUUUAGAGCCAAUGAGUGGCUGCCUGAAGGAUUUGAAGAAAGAAUCAAAGAUUCAGGACAAGGGCUAGUGGUCCAAAAAUGGGCACCUCAAGUGGAGAUUUUGUCUCACAAGUCAAUAUCUGCAUUUUUGAGUCAUUGCGGAUGGAACUCAGUGCUUGAAGCUUUGAGUCAUAGGGUGCCGAUAAUUGGGUGACCGUUGGCAGCAGAGCAGUUUUAUAAUUCUAAGCUGUUAGAAGAAGAGAUGGGGGUUUGUGUGGAGAUAGCAAGAGGGAUGAGUUGUGAGGUUUUGAAAGAGGACUUAAGUGCAAAAAUUGAGUUAGUGAUGAAUGAGACUGAGAAAGGAACAGACUUGAGAAACAAAGCUAAUGAGGUCAAGGUGAUUAUUAAGAAUGCUGUGAGAAAUGAAACAAAUUUUAAGGGGUCUUCUGUGAAAGCCAUGGAUCAAUUCUUGAAUGCUGCAUUGAUAAUGAGACAGAUGGAAAAGGGAGCAUCAAAGGAUGAGGUUUGAUUUUGCGUGGAAGGAAGUCUCCAUUGCCAUUUCUGUCGAUGAAAAAUAAUGUAAUCUUUUAACGAGACAGUUUUGGGAAAAUUCUUGAAGUAGUGUUAUCUUUUUAUUAACUUUCGAUCAAUAAUAUGAAAUUUGAUUUUAUAUAAAUUAAUCCCAUAACAAAGAGCAUCCUCUGUUUUUUGUGACUACAUCUAUCAGGAUUCAGGAAUUUUGAGUUUAAAGCUUGUUCCUUCCGAGUGGGAUCAGGAAUUUAUAGAGCACAAUUCCUUAGUAUUUAAUGUUUUCAAUAAAUGAAAGUAUGAUUGGGCCGAAAAACCAUCACCCACGGUCCUCAUCAAGCCCAACCCAGACCAUGUCAUUUGGGCUGGUUUGAUAAGGGAAACUCAAUCUAUUAUAAAUUUCAUUAGGCUUUGGGUCGGUCAUUUUCACAAAAUAAUUUCUAAAGUGAUAUAUCGAUAAAUUACUGUUAAAAAAAAAAAAAAAGGUAGAAAUCUGCAUCUCUUAAUUUAUCAAUGGCACCAUCAUCGUCAAUGAACAAGCUUCUGACCUUGGCUAUAACGAUAUUUAUAAGUUUCGGCUAAAUCGGAUUGCCACCAUUAAAUUUUUUAGUUAUUGGUAUCUUAGAUUUUUCUAACAUCAUAAUCUGUUAAAAUAUUGAAUCUAAAAAAAAAAAAAAUUGAACUAACUGUUUUUUUUAAUAGAAAUGCAUUCUGAUUAAAGUAUGUUAAAACGUUAAUAGAAAGAAUAAACAUAACAUUUCAUAUGAAAUUUUAGUUCAAUCACAUGCGUAAAUUUCUAGUUUGUGAAGCAAAAAGGUUAUGAGAGAUUUUUCUAAAUAUGUACAUUGAGAUCUCCUUCCUACCAAUCCUUAAUUAUUUUUUAUUGUUGAAUUAUGUUGUGUUUUGUGCUCACUUUAAAAUAGGAUUCAACUUUAUACCAUUGAACCAAUCAUGUUAAAAUGUUGGAUGAAAUUGAAUUAAAAUUAUUCAUAGCAUUAGAUGGAGAUUGAGAUUUUAUAAACAAAUGUUGGAUGGUGAUUGGAGAAAAGAGAUAUUGCAAAUGGCGACGCUGAUCGGAGAAAACAAAAAUACCCUAAAGUAUAUAAACGCUUGGUUUCGCAAUGAUAUAUAUUGUCUGAUUUAUUGAAAUUUGUUUUAAAGUAUACUCUAAUUUACUGGAUUGCUUGAAAAAAUAAAGUGUAAUGUUAAUCGCAUCUCGUAGAUUUGUAUGCAAAAUAAAUUUUAAUAUAAUAUUUUAAAUUAAUUAAAAUAACAGUAUUUUUCCAUUGCAAUAAUAAAUCGUCUUUAAUUAUUUAUGAAGACAAAAUUUAGGCUAUUUUCAGAUUGAAAGCACAUAUACUCUUUGUCUGCAGGGGAGACUCUCCAUUACUGACAAGAGUGAUAAGCAUUUAGUCUUUAGACUGAGACCAUCUAAAACUGGACUCAACAAUUCUGCAUCGUAUGUAUAUUCCCAAAAGAUUUUUAAAAUUAGUUUUAAAAACGUGGAAGCUUUGGUUGCCCAAUUAAUGCACCCACCUCUGCGUUUCCCCUACGUAUUAGCCUGCGUAAUUUUUAAAUUUUCGGUGAUUAUGGUCUUGAUUGGGAUUACGUUGCUGUAAUUUUUAAGUUAUAACUACUGUGAAAAAAAAAGUAUAAUUAUGAAAUAAAAAUAAAUAAUAUAUAAUAAAUAUAAUUUUUAAAUAAUAAUUUUAUAAAAAUUAUUAAAGAUAUAUUAAUUCAUCACGUAAAUAUAAAAUUAAAUUAAAUUAUCUUUUAAGUUAUAGUAGUUAGUAUUUAUUAAAUAUUUUAAUUUUUAAAUUUUUAAAUUACAGUUAUUUAAUCUCAAUUCUAAAUAGAGCCUAUAUCUAUUUAAAACUUGUUCAGAUUGCUAACUAGUUAUGCUUUAUUUAACAUAGUAGAAUUCGGUAAUUCACUUAUUAUUAAUUUUUUGUUUUAGUCUCUAGACCAUCUUUCACCGAUAAAAACUGUUUUAUUACAUACCAAAACUGUUAAAAUCAAGGACGGAAGCAGCAUGGUGCUACCAGGAUCAGCUGUCCCCACUUAAGUACUUAGCUUUCUAUUUUAUGCUUAAGUCUCACCCUGCAAUCUUUAUUGGUGUGCCCUCUUGAUUUCAAUGUUCAACCAAUUUAUCUUUUAAAAUUUUUUGAACAGACUCAGUAACUUGAAAUUAAAAGCCUAAUAGCCUUAAUUCCAGUAUGUUGCGAAAAAAAUUUCAAAUAGUAUUGAUAAUAAAACUAUUGAGCAGCAUUAUCAAUUCAUGAAAAUAAGUCAUCAACAAUUUAUGAGUGAAAGAUAUAACUUUAUAUUUAUUAUUAUUUUUUAAAAAAAAAUUACCCCCUAUAGAGUAAAUUUCUAGCUUCAUCCAUCGUUAAAGUAACUCAUGUUAUUUCAAUGAACGCCAAAGACACAUAGGUAUAACUAAUUAUUUUAAAUUUUUUUUAUUAAAACUUAGCAGUUUGAGGAAUUUUUAUUAAAUAUGAAAUAAGAAAUGAAAUACCAAAUCCGGAGGAUUUAAUUACAUUAUUUUUUUCCCAAUUGGAAAUAUGUUGGAAAGAAAUACCUUUAAAAUCUGCCAUUAAAAUAAGAAAUAUGUUUAUUAAUAUAAUUUAAAAAAUAAUGUAAUUAACUUGACUAAUAAAUGUUUGUUUUGGUUGGUCAUUUAACCAUAAAGUGGCAACAUGCAAGCAACAGAGUUGAUGACUUUCUGUGCAGUUUGGAGCCCAUUCUAGACACAAAAAAUAUAGAACAAACUUCAUUGCUUUCUACUUCUAUGAAGGGGAAUAAAAAAAUGAGGAUGAUUUGAUGUCAAAAAUCAAAAUGAUCCAAGCAAUGCCGCAAUACGGUGCCGCCAAACAAACCUUUCAUUGUUUUACUCUUAAAAAACAGAAAACAACAAUUUGGAAACAGUACCAAGCAGCCUACUAAAAAGUUAGUGAAUUAUGAUUUAGGAUUGGGGUUUUGUUUGAUGUUGAAUGAAUUAUAUGAUAACAAUGAUGAUAAAGUCAAAAACAGUUUUGUAUAAUUUAAUAUGUAAUAAUUAAUGUGACACGAAAAAAGUAACUAAAAAGUAAUGAUAGUUUUUUUUUUAAUUAUGUGAGACCAUAAUAAUUUUAUAUAAUCAAUCAUCAAAAUUAACAAUAUAUGUCAAGGCUCUAGCAGAAUUAUCAAAAUGCUCAGUUUUUUUUAAAUUUAAUUUUCAGUUUUUAAAUUUAGAAAGUCGAAAGUUGUCUUUCAAAAGAAUUAAAAUUACCAAAAUGACCCCACUCCCCUUCUUAACCACCUAAUCCUCCGCAAUUUCUCCUCAUCCUCUCAUCAAUAGCAAUGGCACAAAGAAAAGAAAACAUAGUGAUGUUCCCAUUCAUGGCACAAGGCCAUAUAAUCCCUUUCCUAGCGUUAGCCCUUCAGUUGGAAAAAACAAACAAAUACACCAUAACUCUGUUGGUGAAUUAUGAGAAUAUGGAGGCAAAGAACAAUGAAAUUUCUUAGGAUUUGAGACGUGUUUACACACUUUCCUUUAAGGUUUUAUUUGCCCUCACCAAUCUUGGUUUGCUAUAGAGUUUUAAUGGCAAAUUACCCCCAAGAUAUAUCAAAUCCUGAAUACAAUCUUUAGCAAAUAAGAUUGUAUUUCCAGAACAAGCAUGAAAUCUUCAAAAUCUGAUUUCUAAUCUUAUUGUAUGUCUUUCUUUUUAUGAAUAAGAUGUUUAUUUGAAAGAAUACAACCAUUAGAAAAUGGUACUUCUUCGAAAAAAACUCUUUUGGUUUUAAAAUGCAUCGAUUUACAAUUGAAAUCUUUUCAAUCUUGCUAACCGUUUUCCAAUUGACAACUUUCUGGAAAUAAACGGUUAGCCGUUUUCUCAAUAAACGGUGAGCCGUUUAUUCUAGGACAUAAAACAUGCUCUCUGGACUUAAACGGUAAGCCGUUUUCACCAUAAACGGUGAGCUGUUUAUUCCAGAACAAAAAACAUGCUCUCUGGACUUAAACGGUUAGUCGUUUUCUCAAUAAACGGCAACCCGUUUUCGUCCAGAAUAUCAAACCAAACAAAUUUGAAAGAUGUUACAAUCUCUCUUACAAACUCUUGUUAACACCCCUUUAAACCUCAAGAGACUCAAAUCAUCUCUCCCACAAAAUUCCUCCAUUCACCUUCUUGAAAUUCCUUUCAACAGCAUAGAGCAUGACCUCCCUCCUUGUACUGAAAACACAGACUCUAUUCCACAUCAUCUCUUUCCAAGAUUCCUUCAAGCAUCAGCAUCGCUCGAACCCCACUUCAAGAAACUAAUCUCUGAACUUGUCAAUGAACAAAAUGGCCAAAAACCACUUUGUAUCAUCACUGAUUCGUUCCUAGGUUGGUGUAAAGAGACAGCACAAGAGUACGGUAUUUUUCAUGCUAUAUUCAUAGGAGGUGGUGGCUUUGGCUUUGCUUGUUUCUACUCUUUGUGGGUAAACUUGCCUCAUCGGAAAACGGAUGCCGAUAAAUUUCUGUUGCCGGAUUUUCCUGAAGCUUCAACACUUCAUGUAACUCAGAUGUCACUUUCCUUACGUGCUGCCGAUAGUCUCUUGAAAGACCUUUUGUUAAAGGAUCUGCUAGGUUCUUAUUAGUCCUAACAUAAACAAUAUUAAUAACACCAUCUGCUAUUAAUUGUUUCACAUAUUCAUGUCUUAAGCUAAUAUGUCUAGACUUUCCAUUAUACACUUUAUUAUAAGCUCUAGACAAUGUAGCUUCACUGUCGCAGUACAAAGAAAUAGAUGGCAUCGGUUGUGGCCACAACAUUAUAUCAAACAACAAAUUUCUCAGCCAUUCUGCUUCUUUGCCUGCAGAUGCAAGUGCUAUAAACUCACUUUCCAUUGUUGAAUGAGUUAUGCACGUUUGUUUCUUUGAAGCCCAAGAAACCGCUCCUCCAGCAAUUGUAAAAAUCCAACCAGAAGUGGAUUUAUUAUCUCUUGUAUUGGUUACCCAACUAGCAUCUGAAUAUCCUUCCAGUACUUCAGGAUAAUCAUUAUAAAACAAACCCAAAUUAAUGGUCCUUUUAAGAUAAUCAAGUAUUCUACCAAUUGCUUUUCAGUGUUCAACACUAGGGUUACUCGUGAAUCUUGACAUUUUGCAAACUGCAAAUGCUAUAUCAGGCCUCUUACAAUGCAUAGCAUACAUCAAGCUACCAAUUGCACUAGCAUAUUCUAGUUGAGCUACUAUUCGGCCUGAAUUCUCUAGUAAUUUAAUACUAGAAUCAUAUGGGGUAUUAGCUUCUUUAAAUUUCAAAUAAUUGAAUUUAAGAAGCACUUUCUCUAUAUAAUGAGAUUGACACAACGAGUAACCCCCACUAUGUUUAUUCACUUUGAUACCUAAGAUAGUAUCUACUUCACCAAGAUCUUUCAUCUUAAAUUGUGAAGUUAAAUACUUCUUUGUAUCAUCUACUCCUUGCAUAUUUGUUCCAAAGAUAAGCAAGUCAUCAACAUACAAGCAUAUAAUCACACCAAAAUCAUUCGUAUAUUUAAAAUAUACACAUUUAUCAGCAUUAUUAUGCUUAAAACCAUGUGAUAAAAUUACCGAAUCAAACUUCUCAUGCCAUUGUUUUGGUGCUUGCUUUAAGCCAUAAAGAGAUUUGAUUAACUUGCAUACCUUUUUUUCAUUUCCAGGCAAAACAAAUCCCUCAGGUUAUUCCAUAUAGAUUUCUUCAUCAAGAUCACCAUUAAAAAAAGCUGUUUUAACAUCCAUUUGAUGCACAUACAAAUUGUUCAAUGAAGCAAUUGCAAAUAGCACUCUUAUAGAAGUUAACCUAGCUACCGGAGCAUAUGUAUCGAAAUAGUCAAUACCAUUUCUUUGCUUAAACCCUUUGGCUACUAAUCUAGCCUUAAAAGUUUGCAAAGAACCAUCAUUAUUGUACUUUCUUCUAAAUACCCAUUUGCUGCUAAUUGGUUGAGAUCCUGGAGGAAGAUCAACCAAGACCCAUGUUUGAUUCGACAUUAUCGAAUCCAUUUCAUCAUUUACCGCCUCUCUCCAAAAAGAAGCGUCUCUAGAAGACAUAGCCUCGCUAAAUGUCUUUGGAUCUUUUUCAAUAUUUAACAACAAUGGUACUUUGUUAAGUACAUUCUUCUGCUAUACGGCCAAGGCGGAUGUACGGUACAGCAGUAUAAUGCCUGUUGUUUCAUACCUAUUUUUUUGUUUUUUUUGUGAUCUAACCAUUGGAUCAACCAAGAGUUGCAAAGGCUAUUCCAAUCGUUAGAAUGUUAUUAUUUAGUUAUUAACGAUGUGGUCUCUUAUGUUUACUAAAAGAAUAAGAAAAUAUUAAAUUAUAAAAUUUUGACACAUUGGUCCGUUAAAUAUUUUAUUAUCAAAGGUAAUUUAGUAAACGAACAUAUUUAUAUAUUAAAAAUAUGGAUGGAUUAUUUUAACUUGCUAAAAUACUCUCCACUUCCAUUUACUUAAAAUACCAAUUAUAUUUUCAUAAUACUAUUUUGUAUUUAGUGUAACACAAAAUUAGAUAAGGUUUUAUAUAAAUUUUGACAAUAUUAAAAUGGAAAAUAAAUAAAUAUUAAAUAAAUGCUUGGAUAGUCAUUUAAAUUCAUUAUAGAGUUUAUAAAUAAUAUUUUCAAAAUAAUAAAAUUCUAUAUGUAAAUUUGAGAUUAUGUAAAAUUACUUAUACUUUAUCUCACGUAUGAAGCCGAUCAAUUAUUUAUUUAAUAUGAAAAAAAGUAAAUUAUAUAAUAUUUAUUCCAUCACUUAAAUUUAGAAUUAUAAAGAAUGAAACUUAAAUUUAAAAUUGAUUGAGAAGGAGAUAGAGAGAAUAAUUUUUUUAGAAUUUUAAAAUUAUUAUAUUUUAAUUGGGUUUAUUACAUAAAAUUAUUAAAACUUAUAGUUUUUAUUAUUUAUAGAAAAAAAUAGGGAUUGUUGAAGAAAAUGCCAAAUAAACUUUUUAGAAUUUUGAAAUUAUUAUAUUUUAAUUGGGACUUAUUGUAUAAAAUUUUUAAAACUUAUAAUUUUUAUUAUUUAUAAAAAACUACAGGGACUACUAAAAAAAUACCAAAAUGGUAUUUAGUACAACGGGAGUAAGAUAGUUUUGCCCAAUAUAAUAAUAGAGCUUUAUUAGGUCAUGUCCAAUAAAGCAAAAUCAAAAGAAGCUGCUUGUGCACGGCAUUAGCUCUAUUUCUAGAAGCUGACGAAAGGCAAAGUUUGUUUUGGUAUAGUCUUGGUCUGGUCGUUUGUUUUAUUUUAUUUUAUCUUAAUUAUUAUAUUAUAAUCUAUUGAUUUUAAAAUCAGUAGCCUGCUCUUAUCCAUUGGAUUUGUCAAGCAAAACUCAAAAAUUUACACCAAAUACAACCUAUAACUAUUCCACGCUUAUAUUAAUUUAUACGAGAGGAUUAGUCUUCAUGAUUUGUCUCAAUCAUGGUCCUGUUGAAGAAAACAAAGUUUAAAUAUAAAUUUCUUCUUUGUAUGAUAAGAAAAAUUUCUUAUCAUUACAAACAUGAAUUGUUGCACCCGAAUCGAGCCACCAAUCAUAGGACUUAGUUUCAGCCAUAUUGGUUUCAGUAAUCAUGCCAAUUUGUAUUUCAGAAACCAUAGCACAAAUCUGUUCAGAUUUGUUUUCAAUAACAUUAGCUUUAUGGGAAUUCACUUCUUCCUUUUUCUUCUUGAAUCUGCAAUCACUUUGGCGAUGGCCUUUCUUACCACAAAAGAAACAAUUUCCAGAAAACUUUUGUGUGCUGGACUUCUUGAAUUUCUUGUCAUUCUUGACUUUAAAAUUCUUUGAGAAUUUACUAGCUUCAACAACAUUAACUUUAGUAUAAUCAUGCUUAUCCUUGGAUUCACGAGACCUAGUCUCUUCUUCAAUUACCAAGUGUUUUUGCAAUUCUUCUAAAGUUAUGUUCUCUUUACUAUGAAGGAGUUUCUUUCUAUAAUCAUUCCAACUUUGAGGCAAUUUAGCAAUAAUAGCCCCAACUUGAAAUGAUUCAGAAAUUUCAACUUUUAACUCUCGAAGCUUAGCAACAAUAAUUUGUAACUCAUGUAUUUGAUCAAGAAUGGAUUUUGUGUCUACCAUAAUAAAUUCAAAAUAUUUAGAUACAAGGAAUUUGUCAGUACCUUCUUUCUCCGUUUUGUAUUUGUAUUCAAGAGCAUUCCAAAUUUCCACCGGAGAAGUCAUAGAAUUGUAGAGAUCAUAUAAUCUGUCAGAAAGCGUAUUGAGUAUGUGACCCCGGCAUAUCAAUUCAUCAUCUUCACGACGUUUCCUUGCAGCCUUAACAACUUCGGUAUCAUCUUCUCUUGGUUCUGGAAAUGGUUCCAAUUUCGGAUCAAGAACAUAUGCCACUUUAAGAACAGUAAGGAGAAAGAACAAUUUUCCCUUCCAACGAGUGAAAUUAGUUCCAUCAAAACGAUCGAGAUGGACACUAGGAUUCAGAAAUGAUGUCAAACUCUUCUCAAAAUGCAUCGAUUUACAAUUGAAAUCUUUUCAAUCUUGCUAACCGUUUUCCAAUUGACAACUUUCUGGAAAUAAACGGUUAGCCGUUUUCUCAAUAAACGGUGAGCCGUUUAUUCUAGGACAUAAAACAUGCUCUCUGGACUUAAACGGUAAGCCGUUUUCACCAUAAACGGUGAGCUGUUUAUUCCAGAACAAAAAACAUGCUCUCUGGACUUAAACGGUUAGUCGUUUUCUCAAUAAACGGCAACCCGUUUUCGUCCAGAAUAUCAAACCAAACAAAUUUGAAAGAUGUUACAAUCUCUCUUACAAACUCUUGUUAACACCCCUUUAAACCUCAAGAGACUCAAAUCAUCUCUCCCACAAAAUUCCUCCAUUCACCUUCUUGAAAUUCCUUUCAACAGCAUAGAGCAUGACCUCCCUCCUUGUACUGAAAACACAGACUCUAUUCCACAUCAUCUCUUUCCAAGAUUCCUUCAAGCAUCAGCAUCGCUCGAACCCCACUUCAAGAAACUAAUCUCUGAACUUGUCAAUGAACAAAAUGGCCAAAAACCACUUUGUAUCAUCACUGAUACGUUCUUAGGCUGGUGUAAAGAGACAGCACAAGAGUAUGGUAUUUUUCAUGCUAUAUUCAUAGGAGGUGGUGGCUUUGGCUUUGCUUGUUUCUACUCUUUGUGGGUAAACUUGCCUCAUCGGAAAACGGAUGCCGAUAAAUUUCUGUUGCCGGAUUUUCCUGAAGCUUCAACACUUCAUGUAACUCAGAUGUCACUUUCCUUACGUGCUGCCGAUGGAAGCGAUUCUCUUUCAGUGUUGUCUAAGGAGCUGUUUCUUCAAUGGAAGGAUGCUGACGGAAUUUUGGUUAACACGGUCGAAGAACUUGACAAGAUUGGACUGAUGUAUUUCAAGAGAAAAUUUGGCCGGCCGGUUUGGCCAAUAGGACCUGUUCUUUUGUCCACGGAAAGCAGAGGUGGGGCCGGAAAAGAGUACGGAAUCUCUGCAGAGUUGUGUAAAAAAUGGCUUGAUACAAAGCCGUACAGUUCAGUUCUGUAUGUGUCAUUUGGUUCGCAAAACACAAUAGCCGCAUCACAAAUGAUGCAAUUGGCAAUGGCUUUAGAGGCCAGUGGCAAGAAUUUCAUUUGGGUUGUUAGGCCUCCGAUUGGCUUUGACAUAAAUUCUGAGUUUAAAGCCAAAGAGUGGCUGCCUCAAGGAUUUGAAGAAAAAAUCAAAGGUUCAGGACAAGGGCUAGUGGUACACAAAUGGGCGCCUCAGGUGGAGAUUUUAUCUCAUAGGACUAUAUCUGCAUUUUUAAGUCACUGCGGAUGGAACUCUGUGCUUGAAGCUUUGAGUCAUGGGGUGCCCAUAAUUGGGUGGCCAUUAGCAGGAGAGCAGUUUUAUAAUUCUAAGCUGUUGGAAGAAGAGAUUGGGGUUUGUGUCGAGGUUGCAAGAGGGCUUACGUGUGAGGUUUUGAAGGAGGACUUGAGUGCAAAAAUUGAGUUGGCGAUGAAUGAGACUGAGAAAGGAACAGACUUGAGAAACAAAGCUAAAGAGGUGAAGGUGAUUAUUAAAAAUGCUGUAAGAAACGAAGACAAUUUUAAGGGGCCUUCUGUGAAAGCCAUGGAUCAGUUCUUGAAUGCUGCAUUGAUUAUGAGACAGAUGGAAAAGGGUGCAUCAAAGAAUGAGGUCUGAUUUGCGUGGAAGGAAGUCUCUGUUGCCAUUUCUGUCAAUGAAAAAUAAUGGAAUCUUUUGACGAGACAAUUAUGGGAAAUUUCUUCUAGUAACGUUAUCUUUGUAUUAACUUUCAAUCAAUCACGUAAAAUUUAAUUUAAUAAAAAUUAAUCCCAUAACUGAAAGAGCCACCUCUGUUUUUGUGGCUGCAUCUUUCCAAGAAUUUGAGUUCAAAGCUUGUUCGUUCCGAGUGGGAUCAAGCAUUUAUAGAGCUAAUUCAUUAUCUCAAUAAAUAAAAGUUGGAUUGGGCCGGAAAACCAACGCCCACAAUCCAAAUCAAGCCCAACGCAAACAACGUCAUUUGGGCCGGUUUGAUUAGAGGAACUCAAUCCAUUUCAACUUUAGGUUGGGUUUGCGUUGAUGAUUUUCACAAAAUGAUUUAUCGAUAAAUUAAUGUUAAAGAAAAAUAAAUGGGGGGAAAUCUGCAUCCCUUCAUUUACCGGUGGAACCUUCAUCGUGAAUGAUCAAGCUUCUGAUCGUGGCUAUAACGGUAUUCAUAAGUUUCGGCUAAAUCGGAUCGCCGCCAUUAAAAUUUUUUAAGUACUUGUAUCUUAGUUUUUACCAAUAAUGUUAAAAUGUUGGAGGAAAUUAAAUUAAAUUAUUCCUAGGUGCAGAAGGAGAUGGGAUUCUAUAACUAAAUGUUGAUGGUGAUUAGAGAAAAGAGUUAUUGCAAAUAGGGACGCUAAUCGGAGAAAGCAAAAAUACCCUAAACUAUAAAAACACUCAGUUUGGCAAUGAUGUAUAUGAGUGAUGAUAUAUGUACAAACUCUUAUACAAACUUAUUUUCUAUAAACUAAUUUAGUAUUAACUCAUUGGUUGAAUAAAAAUAUAAAAUAAUAAAAACAAAUCAUAUGAACCAAGAGAUAUCUAAUUCAACCAAUUAAAUUAUGCUACAUUGUUUGUAUAAAAAAAAAUUAUACAAGAAUUUGUAGUUAUAUUAUUACUUGAUGUAUAUUAUUUUAUUUAUUGAAAUUUGUUUUAAUGUAUAUUGUAUUCAUCUAAUUUACUUGCAUGCAAAAUAAAUUGUAAUAUAAUAUUUUAAAUUAAUUAAAAUAAUAGUAAUUUUCCAUUACAAUAAUAAAUCGUAUUUACCUAUGAAGACACAAUUUAUGCCAUUAUCAUAUUAAAAGCACAUAUAUUCUCUGUCUGCAAUGAAGACCCCUUCAAAGCUAACAUUGGUCAUAGGCAUUAAAUGUCGAUUGAGACCCCGUAUAAAUGGACUUUACAACUCUACAUCAUGUACAUAAGCAUGAAGCUAGGACACCUCACUCGUACUAUUUUCCAACCCACUCUGCUGUACCGUACAUCCGCCUUAAAAAAAAAAAAGUAUUCAGCUUUCUAUUUAUGCUCAAGUCUUAGCCUAUAAUCUUUAUUAAUGUGUCCGCCUGUUUUCACUAUUCAACCCAUUUAUCUUUUAAAAUUAUUUGAAUAACUUGCAAUUAAAAGCCUAAUAGCCCUAAUUCCAGUAUGUGGGGAAAGAAAUUUUGGAGAGCAUUAUAAUAGAACUAUUGAACAACGUUAUCAACUCAAAAAAAUCCGCCAUCGACAAUUGUAAAUGAUGCUAAUAGAAUACAUUUAUUAUGAACGAAAGAUAUAACUUUGGUAGUUUGUAUUAUUUUUUAUUUUUUAAAUUACCCCGAUAGGAUAAAUUUCUGGCUUCAACCCUUGUUAAAGUAACUCGUGUUAUUUCAAUGAAAGCCAAAGACAAAUAUUAUAACUAACUAUUUUUAUUCUUUUUAGUUAAAACUUAGCGGUUUGAGGAAAUUUUAUCAACUAUGAAAUAUAAAAGGAAAUACCAAAUCCGGAGAGUUUAAAUGAGCAUCAGCCCCCAACAAAAUUUAAGAAACCUCAAAUACGAAACCGUGAAUGUACACACCUAAAUCGUACACCUGAACUGUUAGAUGUUACUAUAGCCUUUAAAUCAAUGGUCCUCAGUUUUUUUUUAAUUCUAUUCAACUGGCUCUGAAUUCUGAUGGCGACAAAAAACUUAAGCUUUCAUAAGCAAUUAUGAACAAUACUGACUUUUAUUUUUGAACACUGAUAGUGUGUUUGAAUUAUAUAUGAUAUCACCCCACUCUCCUUCUCCAAUGACACAAAGGAAAGAGAACGUGAAAAUGUUCCCAUUCAUGGCACAAGGCCAUAUAAUCCCAUUCCCAGCAUUAGCCCUUCACUUAGAAAGCACAAAUAAAUACACCACAACUUUUGUUAACAACCCACUUAAAAUGAAGAAACUCAAAUAAUCUCUCCCUCAAUGCUCCUCCGUUCACUUUCUUUGAAAUUCCCUUCAAUAGCAUAGAUCACGAUCUCCCUCCUUGUACUGAAGACACGGCUUCUCUUCCAUUUCAUGUCGUUGGAAAACUCCUUGAAGCUACUUUAUCCUUUAAACCCCAUUUCAAGAUACUCAUCGUUGAUUUUAUUGAUGAACAAAAUGGCCACAAACCGCUUUGUAUCAUCACAGAUAUGUUCUUUGGUUGGUGCAAAGAGAUAGCACAAGAGUACGGUACUUUCAUGCUAUAUUUAUAGCAGGUGGUGGCUUUGGCUUCGCAUGUCACUACUCUUUGUAGGUAAACUUGCCUCAUCGGAGCACAGAUUCCGAUGAAUUUUUGUUGCCGGAUUUUCCUGAAGCUUCAACAAUUCAAGUAAACCAGCUGGCAUAUUAUCUAAGAGUUGCUGAUGGAAGUGAUUCUAUUUCAACGGUUCUACAGAAAGUGCUUCCUGAAAGGACUAAUGCUGAUGGAAUUUUGGUUAACACAAUAGAGGAACUUGACAAGAUUGGACUAGUGUAUUUCAAGAGCAAAUUUGGCCGACCAGUUUGGCCAAUAGGGCCUGUUCUUCGGUCUACAGGAAGCAAAGCUGGAGCCGGCAAAAGAACAUGGAAUCUCCGCGGAGUUGUGUAAAAAUUGGCUCGAUACAAAGUCAUGCAUAUCAGUUCUUUAUGUAUCGUUUGGUUCACAAAACAAAAUAGCUGUUUCGCAAAAGAUGCAAUUGGCAAUGGCUUUAGAUGCUAGUGGCAAGAAUUUCAUUUGGAUUGUUAGGCCUCCGAUUGGCUUUGACAUAAAUUCUGAGUUUAAAGCCAACGAGUGGCUGCCUGCUAGUGGCAAGAAUUUCAUUUGGAGCAAAAGAUGCAAUUGGCAAUGGCUUUAGAUGCUAGUGGCAAGAAUUUCAUUUGGAUUGUUAGGCCUCCGAUUGGCUUUGACAUAAAUUCUGAGUUUAAAGCCAACGAGUGGCUGCCUCGAGGAUUUGAAGAAAGAGUCAAAGGUUAAGGACAAGGGCUAGUGGUACACAAAUGGGCACCUCAGGUGGAAAUUUUAUCUCAUAAGUCAAUAUCUGCAUUUUUGAGUCAUUGCGGAUGGAACUUGAUCUGCGCUCGAAGCUUUGUGUCAUGGGGUGCCGAUAAUUGGGUAGCCAUUGGCAGCAGAGCAGUUUUAUAAUUCUAAGUUGCUUGGAGAAGAGGUUGGGGUUUGUGUGGAGGUUGCAAGAAGGAUGAAUUGUGCCGUUUGAAAGAGCACAUAGUGGUAAAAAUGGAACUGGUAAUGAAUAAGACUGAGAAAGGAGAAGCAGUGAGAAUGAAUGCUUUAAAAGUUAAGGAGAUUACUGACAAUGCUUUUACAAAUGAAGAAAAUUGUAAGGGAUCUUCUGUGAAAGCCAUGGAUGGAUUCUUGAGUGCAGCAUUGAUAAUGAGGGAGAUGAAAUAGAGAGGAUCAAAUAGUGAGGUUUGCUGGAUGCAUGUUGAGUGCUUCUUGGUUUCUUUUGGCAUUUCUAUAUCUUUUAAUGAGACAUAGUUUUGGGGAAAAAUCACGAGUAAUCGUUGUUGUUGUUUUUAAUUUUUUAAUUUUUAAUUUUUGUUUUUUUUUUUUUUUUUGCUGCGUGUUGUGUGUCUUUUAGUAAAUCAUGAAAAUAUUCUCACACGUUAUACAAAAAAAAAGUGAAUAAAAAUGAAGCAAUGCUUCUGACGCAUAUUGAUUUUAUGGUUGCUCUUAGACACUUUUUAAGAUUUGCUUUGCUAUUUUGGUACAUAAUAGAAAUUUAUCAACACUUUAAUCUAACAACAGAGGUCCAUAGAUAUUAAUGGUGGAGUCACCUCUGUUUUUUCCCGUAUUAGCCUGUGUAUUUGUGAACAAUGUUAUAUAUAUACACACACACACAUACGCCCUUUGCUACAAAAUUUGGCACUAAACUUUUUGGUGACUUAAUUUAUUAAGAAUUUUUUUUUUAUUGCAUGAGACUAUUGUUCAAACUACAACUCAUAUUACAUGAGACUAUAACUGAUAUUAAUAAAUCACACUAUUAAUGGGACCAACAUACAUCAAUGCUAAUGGAACUCUACCCAAAUUUUAACCAUCACUAAUAUUCGAGGGAUUUACAUCAAUGUUAAUGGAGCUCUACCCAGAUUUUAACCCUCAUUAAUAUUCGAGUGAUGUCUACUCCAUUCACUCUGGGACCAACUUACAUCAAUGCUAAUGGAGCUCUGCCCAAAGUUUAACCUUCACUAAUAUUCGAGGGAUGUCCACUCUACUCACUCUGGGACCAACUUACAUCAAUCACUAAUAUUCGAGGGAUAUCGACUCCACUCACUUUGGGACUAACUUAUAUCAAUGCUAAUGGAGAUCUGCCUAAAGCUCUGCCCAGAUUUUAACCCUCGCUAAAAUUUGAGGGAUGUCUGCUCCACUCACUCUGGGACUAAUUUACAUCAAUCACUAAUAUUCGAGGGAUGUCUACUCCACUCUUACAUCAAUGCUAAUGGAGCUCUACCCAGAUUUUAACCCUCACUAAUAUUCGAGGGAUGUCUACUCUACUCUUACAUCAAUGCUAAUGGAGCUCUGCCUAGAUUUUAACCCUCACUAAUAUUUGAGGGAUGUCUACUCCACUCACUCUCGGGUAACAGAAAAGACUACAUUCACUUAAUUAUACAAUAUAAUUAAGGAAGGAAUUACCCUCACAUUGCACUUGUAGGGGUUCAAACUGCUACCCACCAACUUGGAGGGCAACAGCCCUAACCACUCGGCUUUGGCUGAGUGGCUAUAUUUAUCAAGAAUUUAAAUUACUUAAGAGUGGCUAUACUUAAAGGUGUUUUUUUUUUUUUGAAUUUUCCUUACUGAAAAAUAAAAAUAUAAUUAAAACAAAAGAAAAAAAGUCCUAACAAAUUCCACAGUAGCCACCGAUCAAAUGCCCCUCAUUUACUUAGAAUCAAAUUCAUCAUGCUCUAAUUUUGUAAAUCUACAUACACAAAAAAAAAGGAUAUAAAGAUGCAAAUUGGUACUGAAAUUUUAGAAUAUCAAACUUCAAUAUACAAGACAAUAUGAUUUUUUUUUUUUUGGUACUACAAUUAACUAAUUAGUUAGUUAAGUAGAAAUCUAAGUAGUUAUCUUGGAAACAACGUGGCUUUUGCUUACGGGAUAGACAUCAGCAAGUUUCAACGACUUUAAAUCAUCGUGAAAAUCACAAGGUUUACUUCUAGGCGUAUUCUUAUUGGCUUUACAUUUACAUGCAGUGAUGAAAUAAGUAGGUGUUUUGGUCGGCAGUCUGGGAAUUUAUUGAUAAUGUCAACUAGUAACGACGAGUUAGCUUUUGGUGGCUUGAGAUGGUGACUAUGAUAGUGGAAGGUGGCUAGACUUCAUGGAAUUAGCUUUUGCUCUAUUUUCCAAUGAUAGCAAGAUUGGCCCCAUUGGCCAAACUGACAAGCCUAGCUUUCUCUUCAAGUACAUGAAUGCAAUCUGAUCAAACUCUUCAAUGUUAUUACACAAAAUCCCGUUAGAAUUCACCCACGCAGGAAAAUUUUCACCUUGAAACAAAGACCAAGAAUCUGUCCCAUCAGCCUCUAACAUAUUCAAGGUUAAUUGGGAUUUAUGAAUCCUUGAAGCCUCUUCAAAAUCUGGUAACAUAAACUCAUCUGAAGUAACUUUUUUGUGAGGAAGAUUUGUCCAAAAGGAAUAGUAACAAGCCAAGCCAUAGCUACUAGCACCACUAAAAAUUGCAUGAAACACAUUAAACAUCCGUAUAAAUGUAACAAUUUGAAAAGAUUUGUCCAAAAGGAAUAGUAACAAGCCAAGCCAUAGCUCACUCUUAUCUCCAUGUUUGUCUGUCCUACGUUAUAAGGUGCGAUUGUCUUUUUGUUGAGAUUUUUUCUUUGGAAAAAAUCUAAGGUGCUUCAGGUGCAUUAUUAUGUUUCUGUUUAUUUCUUGUUAUGUAUAUAUAAUCGAUUAGUUAUGAAAACAUCCGUAUAAAUGUAACAAACGAUGAAAGAGAGUACUCUGAACUCAUAUUUUGAACUCAUAUUUUUAUAUUAAUAAUAUGUUCCAUAGGCAUUCUUUAUUUAUUUUUUAUUUUUAAGAUGAGGAGAAUUAAAAUAUAAAUUUUAACCUCAAUUUUUUUCCUUAAAAAUUAAACUUGAGUGAUCAACCAAAUAAAGAUUCUAAAAAUUGAAUUUGGCUGACUCAUGGGACUUCCAUUAAAGUCAUUUGUUGAUGAAGAGGACUAGCCAAUUUUUGAGCUAACGUUUGACGAUGAUUGUAAUCCUGAUUUUAGAUUAAGGAAUAAAAUAUGCAAUUUAUGUGUUGAGUUUUUCGGAAUAAACUUAUUGUAGCUUUUGUGGAGAUUACGAAAUUGUUAACAUGGAAGAGUUAAAGAUAUGUCAUGUCCAUUUAGACAAAAUUACAUAAUUGGUCAAGAGUGUGGAUGAGUGGUUUUCAAUCGAUUUUAUUUAGCUAGCCAUCCGAAUCUAAAUCUUAAGAAAAGUAAGGGACUGAAAAUUAAUUUAAACUUUAUUCAUCCCUUAUCAUUUAAAAAAUAUAAUAAAAUAAAUUAUUUUCAUUUCUUCAUGACGAUGAGUCGACGAUGUUAAGGAACGUGUCCAUGACCAAAUGGCGGACCCAAUUCUUCACCAACUAAUUUCUAGAGAGAAGGAAAUUAAGAGUCCAUAAUUGGAACUCAAAUUGGCCAUACAUCCUGGUAAAAUUAUUCUUAUUGUAUUUAACUAUUUAGUCUAAACUUGACAAUUAUUAGAGAACGCAACGUUAUCUUUAAACAUACCAUUAAUCAGUCCCCAUAACAUACUUCAAACCUCAUUAUUAUUUGAUCAAUCCUCCUCCUUCUGUGCCUUCUUCAUCAUCAACGCAGCAUCCAAGAAUUGUUCCAUGGCUUUUACAGAAGACCCCUUAAACUUUUCUUCAUUUCUAACAGCAUUCUUAAUAAUCAUCUCAACCUCAGAAGCUUUCUUUCUCAAGUCCAUUCCUUUCUCAGUCUCAUUCAUCACCAACUCAAACUUUGCACUUAAGUUCUCUUUCGAAACCUCACAAUUCAUCCCUCUAGCAACCUCCACACAAACCCCAAUCACUUCUUCAAGCAACUUAGAAUUAUAAAACUGCUCUGCUGCCAACGGCCACCCAAUUAUCGGCACCCCAUGACUCAAAGCUUCAAGCACUGAGUUCCAUCCGCAAUGACUCAAAAAUGCAGAUAUUGACUUGUGAGACAAAAUCUCCACUUGAGGUGCCCAUUUUUGGACCACUAGCCCUUGUCCUGAAUCUUUGAUUCUUUCUUCAAAUCCUUCAGGCAGCCACUCAUUGGCUCUAAAUUCAGAGUUCAAGUCAAAACCAAGUGGUGGCUUAACAACCCAAAUGAAGUUCUUGCCACAAGCCUCUAAAGCCAUUGCCAAUUGCAUCAUUUGUGAUGCAGCUAUUGUGUUUUGUGAACCAAACGAGACAUAAAUAACUGAAUUGCAUGGCUUGGUAUCAAGCCAAUUUUUACACGACUCUGUGGAGAUUCCGUACUCUUUUCCUGCCCCAGCUCUGCUCCCGGUUGACAAAAGCAGGGGCCCAACUGGCCAGACGGGUCGGCCAAGCUUUCUACUGAAAUAUAUUAGAGGGAAAAGGACAUUCAACCCCCCAACGUUCAGGAAAAUGGAUAAAAAACCCCUGAACGUUUUAAAAAGGACUUAUAACCCCCUUUCCGUUAACAAACACCGUUUGUUUUAAUAGUAAAUUUAUUUUUAAUUUUUAAUUAACAUUAUACCCUUAUAAUAAAAAAAUUAAUAUAUUAAUUUGAGAUAUAUCAUAAUUAAUAAUUUUUUAAAAGCUUAAAGUUGAGAUACACUUAUUUUUUUGCCUAAAUUAUUUACUAUAAAUUAUACCUUUCUAACAAUAAUAAUAUGGUUUUGAUUCCUCAAAGAAAAAAGGUUUAAUCAAAUUUUGUUUUAUUAGUAAUAAUCACAUAUGAAAGGUUUGAUCAUUAGAAAGGUAUACUUUAUAGCAAAUAAUUUGGAUAAAAAUGUAAUUGUAUCUCAAUUUUUAGUUUUAAAAAAUAUUAAUUGUGACAUGUCUCAAAUCAAUAUAUUAAUUUAUAUUUAUUAUAAGGGUAUAAAGUAAUUAAAAAUAAAAAAUAAAUUUACUGUUAAAACAAACGGUGUUUAUUAACGAAAAAGGGGUUAUAAGUCAUUUUGGAAACAUUGAGGGGUUUUUUGUCCCUUUUCCUAAACGUUGGGGGGUUGAAUGUCCUUUUCCCUAUAUUAGACCAAUCUUGUCAAGCUCCUCUACUGUGUUAAACAAGAUUCCAUCGGCAUUCAUCCACUGAGGAAGCACUUUCUGAAAAAAUACUGAAAGUGAAUCACUACCAUCAGCAAGUCUUAAAAACUUUGUCAUCUGAGUUACAUGAAUUCUUGAAGCUUCAGGAAAAUCCGGCAAUAGAAAUUCAUCGGAAUCCCGAUGGGGUAGGUUUAGCCACAAAGAGUAGAAACAAGCAAAGCCAAAACUACCACCUCCUACAAAUAGAGCAUUAAAAAUACCAUAUUCUUGUGCUAUCUCUGCACUCCAUGCAAAGAACAUAUCUGCAAUGAUGCAAACCGGUUUAUGGCCAUUUUGUUCAUCAAAAAGACCAUUGAUGAGUUUCCUGAAAUGGGGUUUAAAUGAUAAAGUGGAUUCAAAGAAAUUUGGAAAGAGAUGAAAAGGAAGAGAAUCAGUGUUUUCAGUACAAGGAGGGAGGUCAUGAGCUAUGCCAUCGAAGGGAAUUUCACGAAGGUGAAUGGAGGAGUUUUGAGGGAGAGACGAUUUGAGUUUCUUGAGGUUUGAAGGGGUGUUAACAAAAGUUAUAGUGUAUCUGUUUGUAUUCUCCAGGUGAAGGGCUAAUGCAAGGAAUGGGAUUAUAUGGCCUUGUGCCAUGAGCGGGAACAUCACUAUGUUCUCUUUUCUUUGUGCCAUUCUUGUUAAUAGGAAAAAAGAGCAGUGAGUACAGGAUGAGGUAAAGAAGAUGCGUGGGGUGUGUGAUACACAUACACACGGCUUUUAUAACAGUUAGAAGAAUUUAGCGUACGUUAAGAAUUAAUCUUAAGCUAAUACUAUUGGUUCAAACAGGUACAUAUAAUAAAGAGAAAAUUAAAAAGAAAAUUAAUAAUAAUAAUAAUGCUGCAGACAGGAACUCUGUGAAACUUUCCUAAGCGACGUGUCAAAAAUUUGACCGCAUUACUCCACCCAUCGACCCCAACCAAUCCAAGGUUAGUGUGAGGGGAAUUCGAACUUUUAAUCUCUUUGAAUUCAAUUAAACAACUGAGUCCUCAGAAUUUUCUCAAAAUUAUUUACUCAGCCCGCCGAGCAAUAAAUUAUACGUUGUCCUCUUGACCUCUUCGAUAAUGAUGGUAUACAAAUUGAUUUGCUGAACUCGGUUUGUUUUAUCUCUCUAUUUCUAUUCUUAUGUCAGCUAACAAACAGGGAUGGUGCUGCCGAUUCCAUUAAAGGGCCAACUGCAGGACACCUCACUCGUACUAUUUUCCAACCCACUCACUCACACUUUUUCAGAUGGAAAACAGGGAUGAUUAAAUUGUUCAAUAAUACUUCAUAGACCUCUUAACUUUCCUCCAGAAAAAUUUAAGAAUCAUACCCACUCCCCUUAUCUACCACUUAUAUACUACAACAAAUAAUAGUAUUACCGGCGAGAUAUUUCCGAGAGUUUUAUUUACUUUUGGUACUAAAUAUUUUUUUUUGCAAAGGUGAAAAAGAACUAUCAAAAAAACAUUAAAAAACUAUUAGCUUUUUCAAGAGCAAAUUGCUAUCGGUAAUAAAUAAUACACCAGUCGGAAGUACAACUAUACAAGGGCAUAAUUAAUGAUAAAUCUUCUCAAGUUCGACCUAAUGUCAGUGAUCUGUUAAAAAUAAAUGAGUGGCUAAUUAAAUUAUGCACUGGCUCUGCUAAUUAAUAAAGAAUCAUAAGUAAAUAACUAAUCACCUGGCCAGUUGGUCCCCUCUUUAUUCUUAAUCUAGAAACAUCGACUCCACUGAACUUCAUGUUACUAACAAAUAAUUGGCCUUGUUGAUCGUCUCCAUACGCCCCGAUCAGCCCACAAGGAACCCCAAAGCCUACGCUAAGCCCUCGAAUAGUAUUGGUGACACUACCUCCAGCUAUUGUCUUUAUAGGAGAGGCUCAUCCAGAAUGUGGGUUUUCACUUCACUCAAUAUAUGCUCAAGCUCUUCAAUUGCAACCUACACAACAUUUUUAAUUUCGAUUUUUUUUCUAGCCACAAAGAAUUGCUUAUGAAAAAAAAUAAUAAUUAAUAUAUAUAUAUAUAUAUAUACGUACAGCAGAUAAAUAGAAAAAAGAAAUCAAGUAGAAUGAAAUUGUUAAAAAUAAAUGAGUAGCACAUGUUGCAGCUGCUGGAGAAUUUAAUAACAAUGUUCCUUAUCUGAGAGUGCACAAUGUGGCUGAAAUUAAGGUAAUGCCUAUAGUGCAGGAAGAGUCAAAGAUUGUCAAACAGACUUCGCUUCAAAAUGAACAAAGGCGGUCGAUGAGAAAUAAAUGCGGAGAAAGUACACUGAAGCUUACUGAUUUCCUUUGACCACUGAAGAUUUCCUUCCUGCCUUUUUAUAGGCUUCCUCUGAAUCUCAGUCCUCCGCUCUUUUCGAGACGGUAUGGGACUUCAACUGCUGCGUUAUGGGCAAAACAUGGGAUCUAGCGUGUUAUGCCACGGUUCAGGGGAAAGCGUGGCUGCCACGGCUCUGUGAGACCUUGCGUGUUACGCCACGGUUCGGGGGAAAGUGUGGCUGUCAUGGCUCUCGGGUCUCCUCGACGACAACAUCGUGGACGAGCAGGAUGUUUCUGAUCCUGUUCUUCCACGCGCUAGGCUUUAACGGAACACAUCGGUUCGCAGAACUCCGCCAUCAGAUGUCUGCUCGUCAUUCCUGGUCCCUUCGACGCAUUUGUCCCAAACAGUAUCCCUCCCAAACAACUAACAUAUUAUUUUCUGUUUGGAUUCUAAUUACUGAAUAUUAUUUGAGUCUACGUUCAAAACCAUGCAUGCUGAGUGUUGGAUAAUCAGGAAAAUAAUACUACUAUGUUUCAAUUUUUUAUUUUUUUUUGGGUUAAUUUAUAUGCAUAUAUAAUUUGACAGCUGAUGAGUUUUCAGUUGAGCUAGCUGAAGGGCUUGCUUUUGUUGCUGCUCGUGAUGAUGAAUCCAAACUCUUUAUGGUAGUUUUACUCUCUUUCAAGGUUUGUGAACAAUUUAUACUUGGCGAUGAUUGAUUCUUCAAGUAGCAAUUAUUUCAUACUCCUUGUUUGGCAUUCUUCAUUGUAUUAUAGUUUAUGGAGAAAGAAGUGAAGAGGUUGAAAAGAAUAGUGAAGCUUGCACUUGGAAACUCAAGUGCACAAGAAUCACCUCUUACGUUACAGAUUGCUAAUUUUCAUUUACUUUCAAGCUUUUUAAAAAUUUUUUUUUUCACUUUCUAAUCCAUAGAAACUAACCAUAACAGGGUUUUGUAACUGAUAGACCAGAUUACCGCAAGCACAUAAAUCCUCUAAUGGCAGUGUUGCAUUUUUCGGCCUCUCUAAAUUUAUAGGUUAGCAAUACUUGCUAAAUUUAGAAUCCAACUCCUGCUGUUGACUUCAAAUAUUAGCAUAUUUUCUUAUUGAUACAAAAUAUUGCUCUAAUGAUUAUUAUCCAUUCCAGUCUCAUAUUUUGUCAGGCUUCUUAAGCAUAUCUUGGAUAUAAUACUUAUGCUUAAUUCUAUACAAACUGAUUGUCGAAAUAACAUACUAUUAUACUAGUUACUGAUUUGAUAAUUUACUGAUUAAUAUUUCUUCGUUGAUCUAGGAUAUUAUUUGGUAUACUAAUGAUGAUGUGGGGAUGGAGCAGAUUCAUAUUUCUUGAUUCAUAUAGGAUAUUAUUUGGUCGAAUGAAGAUGAUGAUGGGAAUGAAGAAGAUGAGGUAGAGGCAAACGUAGGUCUCAGAGACUAAAGAACAUGUGUUGGAGGAUGCUUGAAAUAAUUCAUGCUAUGAAAUCAUUUUGCGUAUACAUUUGAGAUUUUUUUUAAAAAAUAUACUAUUAAAAUUGAUUAUGUUGUACUGUUGAUUGGUGAAUGCAAUUUCUAUAAAUUUUUGAAAUUAAUGAAGCUAUAUUUAAUGUAUUUUGCGUGUUGCUAUUGCUAUUUUGUUGAUUAUGUUGCAUUGGUAAUACAGAUACUUAAAAAGAAUAAAAGUAAAAAGCGUAAUAAAUAAUAAUAUUAAAUAAAUUAAAUGGGUCACUAAAUAAAAAAGAAGAAGCAUAUUUCCAGCGUGUUUCUUGCAUUUUCGAGGGUAAAUUAUGGUUGGAAUAGUAAUCAUUUGUGUUCUCCAGCCUCAUUUCCAAGGGAAGUUAAUGCGAUCUCGAAGGGCAAAUGCAAUUGGAAAUAUGUAAUUUUUGGUUUUAUAGAAUCAUUUUCGAGGGCAUUUGAUGUCAUUUCUGACGGCACGGCUAUUGAAAAUAAUUUUUUUCUCUAACGACCCAUUGAAAGUUGUACUUUUUCGAUGCAACUUAAUACAACGACGGUCGACGGCAUGAUUUUCUCAAAAAUAAGUUUUUCCAAAAGUGUUUGUGUAUUUCCAAGAGUAUUUACCCUUAGAAAUAACCGUUUUUCUUUUAGUGUUAAUCCUCUACUUUUUCUCCUUCUGAUCCUCAUCAACAACAAUGGCACAGAGGAAAGAAACCAUAGUUUUGUUUCCAUUCAUGGCACAAGGUCAUUUAAUCCCUUUCCUGGAAUUAGCCCUUCACCUAGAGAAAACAAAUAAAUGCACCAUAACUUUUGUUAACACCCCUUUGAACCUCAAUAAACUCAAACCUUCUCUCCCUCAAAAUUCCUCCAUUAACCUUUUUGAAAUUCCCUUCCAUAGCAUAGAUCAUAAUCUCCCUCCUUGUACUGAAAAGUGAAAACACUGAUUCUGUUCCUCAUCAUCUAGUUUCCAAACUCAUUGAAGUUACUUUAUCGUUUAAGCCCCAUUUCAAGAAACUCGUCAAUGAUCUUAUUCACUAAACCCAUUAAAUCCAUUUAUGAAUACUUAAUAAAUGUGUCAUGGAAUUUCUUAUAAAUUUAUUAAAAAUCUAGAAAGUUCUAGUAGCUCGUCAACCACUGAACAUUGACUUAAGUUGGCAACACCAUGAUCAAAUAAGAAGAUGACCCAUUCGCCUCAAAACCAAACCAAGAGCUUUAUCUCUCUAAAUAUGUACUAUAAACAAAAAUAAUUAUAAAAAAAGAGUAGAAAACAAAAGACAACUCAAAUAUGAAAUUAUUUUUUAAUUAUAGAAUUUGACAUUGCAACCUAUAAUAACUUGUAAUUAUAUAAGGAUUAAAAAAUCAAUUAAGAAUUUUAAAUUAAAAUAGAUCAAUACAUGUAAUUAUAAUUAAUUAAAAAUUGUAAGUAAAACUUUUAUGCUUGAAGUGAAGUACUAAAUUACCCGACUUAAUAAAUUAAAUAAUUAAAAUUUAUUUAUCCUUUUAAAUUGUAAAAGUAUUUUUAAUCAAAAGUUUUAAUAAUAAACUAAACUCAAUUUAGCAAAAAGAUAUUUGGGUGCAGUUAUUUCUUUGUCAGAUGCUCUAUCUCUCUACUAAACUCAAUUCAGCAAAAAGAUAUUUGGGUGCAGUUAUUUCUUUGUCAGAUGCUCUAUCUCUCUUUAAAGAACUAGAAGUUGAUAAUUCUUCUAUUAAAAGCUCUUAAAAUACUCAAAUUUUAUUUUCUACUUGUCAUCUUAGUUAAUAUAACUAAUAAAUAAAAUCUGAAAAUUCACAUUAAAAUUUUAUGAAAAUAUUGAUAAUUGUUACUAUAUGUUAUUUCUGUAAGUACUUUUAAGUCUAGUGAUGAUGUUAUAUUACAUUGACAUAUAUAUUUUUUAAUUAGAAGCUUUUUAAAAUAAAUUAAAGCAGUAAUAAAAUUUUAACACCCUAAUGUUUUCAAUCUAUUCAAUAAAUAUAUAAUUUAAUCAUUUUAUAAAAUAAGUCACUAAUUUCAAUUGAAAAUAAUAUAAUUGACUUAGGGACACAUUUAUAAAUAAAAUAAAAACUCUAUUAUUAUAUAAAAUUAAUGAAAACAUAUGGGUAAUUGAGUUAGGGACAUAUUUAAAUAUAAAAUGAAAACUCUAUUGUUAUACUAAAUUGAUGAAAAUGUAAGGGUAGUUGAGUUAGGGAUAUAUAUGAAACUAAAAUGAAAACUCUAUUGUUUUAUUAAAUUAUUAAAAAAGUAAGGGGUGUAAAUGAUUUUUUUAAACUAGACCGGGCUACAGCCCGGUCUAGCCCACGUGCAGGUCCGCCACUGCUCAAAACAAAAUAUCACUUCUCAAAUAAGCCAGAUGAUUGAUGUCAAAGAAAAGGACCACAAAUCAAACAAAGAAAAGAGUAACGUCUUUCAAUUUCAGCUAAAUACUUCACACAAACAAAAAAGAGUACAAGGUGGAAAGCACUUACACAACACUAGAGGAGAUAUUUGCAGUAUAAAUGAUCCGAAACAAGGAUAGGGUUUAACAAAAGUAUGUUGAAUGUAAAGAUGGGUUCAAAUAUCAAAAAUUAUUAUUUUUUAUUAUAUUUUAGUAUCCACAAUUGUAAUUUAAUUUAGGCAUAUUUUAAUCAUUAAAAAUUAUUUUCAAAAAUAAGUUUAAUAAGUAAUUUAGUGAGUUUAAAUAACCAUAUCUUCUUAAAUUAUGAAUGUUAUUUGGUCUUUAAAAUGAACCAAAAUUACCAAAAUGACCCCACUCCCCUUCUUUACCUCUUAUUCCUCUGCUUCUUUCUCCUCCGAUGAUCCUCAUCAACGCCAAUGGCGCAAAGAAAAGAGAAUAUAGUGAUGUUCCCAUUCAUGGCACAAUGCCAUAUAAUCCCUUUCCUAACAUUAUCCCAUCGCUUGGAAGAAACAAACAGAUACACCAUAACUUUUUUUAACACUUAACAUCCUUUUAAACCUCAAGAAACUCAAAUCAUCUAUCCCUCAAAAUUCCUCCAUUCACCUUCUUGAAAUUCCUUUCAAUAGCACAGACUACGACCUCCCUCCUUGCACCGAAAAACACAGACUCUAUUCCAUAUCGUCUCUUUCCAAAAUUCCUUCAAGCUUCAUCGUCGCUCAAACCCCACUUCAAAGAAUGCUGCAUUGAUAAUGAAACAGAUGGAAAAGGAAGCAUCAAAGAAUGAGGUCUGAUUUGCGUGGAAGGAAGUCUCUGUUACCAUUUCUGUCAAUGAAAAAUAAUGUAAUCUCUUAACGAGACAAUUCUGGGAAAUUUCUUGUAGUAACGUUAUCUUUUAAUGUAAUAGGCUAGUUAGUGGCAAGAAUUUCAUAUUUCUUUUAUUAAAUAUGAAAUAAAAUAAGAAAUACCAAAUCCGAAGAGUUUAAAUGAGCAUCAGCCCCCGACAAAAUUUGAGAAACCUCAAAUACAAAACCAUAAAUUUACACUCCUAAAUCGUACACCUGAAUUGUUAGAUGUCACUAUAGCCUUUAAAUCAAUUGUCCUCAAUUUUUUUAAUUAUAUUCAACUGGCCCUGAAUUCUGAUGGCAACAAAAAACUUAAGCUUUCAUAAGCAACUAUGAACAAUACUGACUUUUAAUUUUUGAACACUGAUAGUGUGUCUGAAUUAUUUAUGAUAUCACCCCACUCCCCUUCUUCUCCAAUGGCAUAAAGAAAAGAGAACGUGAUAAUGCUCCCAUUCAUGGCACAAGGCCAUGUAAUCCCUUUCCUAGCAUUAGCCCAUCACUUAGAAAGCACAAAGAACUACACCAUAGCUUUUGUUAACACCCACUUAAACAUCAAGAAAAUCAAAUCAUCUCUCCCUCAAAGCUCCCCCAUUCACUUUCUUGAAACUCCCUUCAAUAUCAUAGAUCAUGAUCUUCCUCCUUGUACUGAAAACACGGAUUCUCAUCCAUUUGAUGUUGUUAGAAAACUCCUUGAAGCUACUUUAUCCUUUAAACCCCAUUUCAAGAAACUCAUCAUUGAUCUUAUUGAUGAACAAAAUGGCCACAAACCGCUCUGUAUCAUCACAGAUAUGUUCUUCGGUUGGUGCAAAGAGAUAGCACAAGAGUACGGUAUUUUUCAUGCUAUAUUUAUAGAAGGUGGUGGCUUUGGCUUUGCAUGUUACUACUCUUUGUGGGUAGACUUGCCUCAUCGGAACACAGAUUCGGAUGAAUUUUUGUUGCUGGAUUUUCCUGAAGCUUCAACAAUUCAUGUCAACCAGCUGGCAUGUAUCUAAGAGUUGCUGAUGGAAGAGAUUCUAUUUCAACGGUUCUACAGAAAGUGCUUCCCGAAUGGACUAAUGCUGAUGAAUUUUAGUUAACACAAUAGAGAAACUUGACAAGAUUGGACUAAUGUAUUUCAAGAGCAAAUUUUGCCUACCAGCCUGUUCUUCGGUUUACAGGAAGCAAAGCUGGAGCUGGCAAAGAACACGGAAUCUCCGCAGAGUUGUGUAAAAAUUGGCUCGAUAGAAAGCCAUGCAGAUCAGUUCUUUAUGUGUCAUUCGGUUCACAAGACACAAUAGCUGUUUCGCAAAUGGUGCAAUUGGCAAUGGCUUUAGAGGCUAGUGGCAAGAAUUUCAUUUGGAUUGUUAGGCCUCCGAUUGGCUUUGACAUAAAUUCUGAGUUUAGAGCCAACGAGUGACUGCCUUGAGGAUUUGAAGAAAGAGUCAAAGGUUCAGGACAAGGCCUGGUGGUACACAAAUGGGCAUCUCAGGUGGAAAUUUUAUCUCAUAAGUCAAUAUCUGCAUUUUUGAGUCAGUGCGGAUGGAACUCAAUCUGCGCUUGAAGCUUUGAGUCAUGGGGUGCCGAUAAAUGGGUGGCCAUUGGCAGCAGAGCAGUUUUACAAUUCUAAUUUGCUUGGAGAAGAGGUUGGGGUUUGCGCGGAGGUUGCAAGAGGGAUGAAUUGUGCCGUUUUGAAAGAGCACAUAGUGGUAAAAAUUGAACUGGUAAUGAAUGAGACUGAGAAAGGAAAGCCAAUGAGAAUGAAGGAUUUAGAAGUUAAGGAGAUUAUUGACAAUGCUUUUAGAAAUGAUGAAAAUUUAAGGGAUCUUCUGUGAAAGCCAUGGAUGGAUUCUUGAGUGCAGCAUUGAUAAUGAGGGAUAUGAAAUAGAGAGGACCAAGGAAUGAGGUUUGCUGGAUGCAUGUUGAGUGCUUCUUUCUUUCCUUUGGCAUUUCUAUAUCUUUUAAUGAGACAUAGUUUUGGGGAAAAAUCACUAGGAAUCGUUGUUGUUGUUAUUUUAUUUUAUUUUUUUUGCUGCGUGUUGUGUGAAGUGGUGAAAAAACUGCUCAACCUAACCUUUCAACGAACACUCCCCAAGAUCCUCGAUUAGAAUCAACAAGAUGCUUAAGAGAUGAUCUGAAUCACUAAUAAAGAAUCCAUGUAUGAACAAGAUGAUGACUGAUUCAGAAAUGAUCAAAGAAUUAAUCAACAAUUCAAAGAGUCACAGAAGAGAGCUAUUAACGUGGCUCAGUCAAUUUGCAUUGACCUACAUCCACGAGGGUAUUGAUUGAUUCAAGCCACAUUUACACAGAGUUUUACAGAGCAUAUCAAGGAACAAGAAAACCGCACACGCACCAGCUAUCUCUCUCUCUCUCUCUCUCCCGAAUGCUCUCGAAUCCCCUGUUUUUCACACCAGAUGCAGCUGUGUAGAUAGCCGUUAACGAACCCAGAAAACUUUUCCAGGAGCGCACGUGUUUGUCAUGUGAAUUAACGGCCUCGUAACAGCUUUUCAAGUCACGUGCAUUGCGUAUGCUUUAUUAAUCUGAAAACGGCAAAGCUUCUGUUCGUUUAAGCUAGCAAAUUAAAUGUACAUCAAAACACAGAUCUUGCUUGUCGUUUUGCCUUAGUCAUAGACAUACCAAAACCCAAAUCACCUCUGUCGUUUUGAUCUCUUUGAUUUGCUUCACUAGUUUACACAACAUCGUGUGUCUUUUAGUAUAUCAUGAAAAUAUUCUCACACGUUAUAAAAAAUGAAUAAAAAUGAAGCAAUGCUUCUGACGCAUAUUGAUUUUAUGGUUGCUCUUAGGCACUUUGUAAAGAUUUGCUUUGCUAUUUUGUUACAUAAUGGAAAUUUAUCAACACUUUAAUCUAAUAACAGAGGUCCAUAUAUAUUAAUGGUGCAGUCACCUCUGUAUUUUCCUGUAGUAGCCCGUGUAUUUGUGAACAAUGUUUUUAUUUUUAUUUUUUUAAUACGCCCUUGGCCACAAAAUUAGGCACUAAACUUUUCGGUGACUUAUAAUACUUAUCAAGAAUUUGAAUUAAUUUAGGAGUGGUGAUAUUUGAACCCUUCAAUUUCUCUAUCCAAUUCUCAUUUUUCUUAAUUAAUGUCAUUUAUUUUUUGAAUUACCCGUAUUGAAAAAUAAAAAAUAUAAUUAAAACAAAAGCAAAAAAAGUGCUAACAAAUUCCACAAUAGCCACCGAUCAAAUUCCCCUUAUUUAUUUAGAAUCAAAUUCAUCAUGCUCUAAUUUUCUAAAUCUACAUACACGAAAAGAAAAAAAAUAUAUAAAGAUGCAAAUUAGUACUGAAAUUUUAGAAUAUCAAAGUUCAAUAUACAAAAUAAUAUGAAUUUUUUUUUUUUUUUUGGGUACUACAAUUAACUAAUUAGUUAGUUAAGUAGAUAUCAAUGUAGUUAUCUUGGAAACAACAUAGCUUUUGCUUACGGGAUAGACAACAGCAAGCUUCAACGACUCUAAAUCGUCGUGCAAAUCACAAGGUUUAAAUUCUAGUCAUAUUCUUAUUGGCUUUUACAUUUACAUGCAGUGAUGAAAUAAUUAGGUUUUUUGGUCGGCAGUUGGGGGAUUUGUUGAUAAUGUCAUCAAGCAACGACGAGUUAGCAGUUUGGUGGCUUGAGAUGGUGACUAUAAUAGUGGAAGGUGGCUAGAGUUUAUGGAAUUAGCUUUAUAAAAGUAAUUGAUAAUGAAAAAUAAAUAAAUAAAUAAAGGUGAGGGGUGGUGAAAGAAAGUGAGGAGGUGAAAUAUCGCCAGUCAUACUUUAUAAUAAUAUAGGGCUUUCAGUAACAAUAAAGUUGGAAUCGAAAGCCCACGCCCACACCCUAAAUCAAACCCAGCGCCAAUCACAUCAUUUGGGUUGGUUUUCGAUGUUAGAAAUCCAGCCCAUUUUAAUGGUAGGCUGGACUAAGUUGAAUUUGACAAAAGCGGGGUUUUAACUCUCUCGCAAAACUCUUAUGAAGCCUUCCCUUCGUACUUAUAUCUCUUUCUUUGAUAAAAGUUAUAAAAAAGGAUCAAUAAAUUACAAUAAAUUUUGAAUUAAAUUUUACUAUUUAAAUUGUGAACAUACUAUUUCAAACUAAAAUACUUAUUAUUAGAUAAUUUAUUUCUUCAUUGAUUCAAAAGUAUAAUGAUUUUUAUAUAUUAAAGAAAAGUUAUUUAUAUAUAUGUUAGGAUUCAAUCAUUCAAAGAGAGUUAGAUCCAUUAUUUGUCCUUCAAUAUAAUAGAACUAUGAUUAUAAAAAUGGGUUUUCAUAAGAAUAUUAAAAGGGUGUGAAAACUGAAAAGUAUUACUCGCUCACAAACUCAUACGACCCAAGCCCAUGUAUUUAAUAUAUAUAUAUAUAUAUAUAAUGAUUUUAUUGAUAAAUUAGCAUGAAAGAAAAAUAAAUGCCAACUAUUUAUUUUGGUAUAAUUGGAAAUUUGCAUCUCUUGAUUUAUCAUUGGCACUUAGGGUUGGGCAUAGAUUGGGUUUGUGAAAAUCAACCCAAUCUACUAUUGAAUAGAUUGAGAUAAAUUCAACCUAACCUAAUUAAAUAAACAAAAUCAAUGGGUUGAGUAAGGUUGGAUUGAUCGGGUUGAAGAUUAAAUCAAAAUUAAAAGUUUAAUAAAGAAAAAAGAUGUAAAACUUAAAAUGAAACUUAUUAAAAUUAAAUAUAAAUCUAUUAUAACAUGAAAUUUCAUUCACCAUUGAGUGUUCGAUAAAGAAAGUUAAAAGAUUAGCUAUCUAAAAAUUUCAAUGAUGAGCUCUUCGACUUUAUUCCUGGUUCCUCGCAUCUCUUUUUCAAACUCUAAGUUUAGACCUUUUAGAUAAUUAAUUAGCAUCAUUUUCAAUAACAAAAUGAAAGUGGUAUAUAAUAAUAUAAAAUAAAUAUUUAUUAAAAAAUAAAGAGAAAUUGAAAUCAACUUACUUUCAAAAUUAUACUUAAAAGAUAAUAAAUUCACUUAUAUGAGAGAGAGAUUUUAGUUUUGGAAUUAGACUUUAGAGCAACAAAUACGAGAAUGAAAUAGUCUUUUCGAUAUAAAAAUAAAAAGAGUUAAAAAUUAGGUUAGUCGUUUAGGUUUUCAGGAUUUUACAGUUGAGGAUUAAUAUGUGUGUGUAUUUGCAAAUGUUGAAUUAGGUUAGGCAAAUUCAUUAUAAUUAACCCAACCCAACCCAAUUAUUAAUUAAGUUCUGAAAAUUGACCUAAUUAACUUAUAACAAUCCGCUCAACUCAUCAAACUUAAAUUGGGUUGGAUCAAGUCUAUUGGGUUAGAUUAGGUUUGCCCACCCCUAAUGGCGCUACCACCAUCAAUGAUUAAGUUUAUGAUAGUCGCUAUAAUGAUAUUUUUAAGUUUCAGCAGAAUUGGAUCACCACCAUUGAAUUUUUUAGUUAUUUUUAAAUUAAUUUUUUUCCUAAGAGGAUAAUACACUAAAAAUUAUUGAGUCUAAAAGAAAGAAAGUGAACUAACUUUAUUUAUUUCCUUUAUCGUUUAUUUAUACAUUUAAAUCCAAGUGUUUUAAAAAAUAGUUCAAAUAUUACUUUUCUUGAAAUUUUGGUUCAAUCACAUGCCGUAAAUUUCAUUUUGUGAAGCCCAAUGUUUAUGGGAGAUUUUUAUAUCUCUAACACAUCCAAUAUAUGAAAACAAAAUUCAUAAAAAUGUACUUUUCCAAAACAUAUGUAUUUAGAUAUCUAUUAUUGUCAAUUUUUAAUUAUUUUUCCCAUUUAUUUAUUUAAUAUUGCGUUUAUGUUCGCUUAAAUAUUAUAGGAGAUAUUAAUAUACACACAAUAAUAUCAAAUUGUUGGAGGAAAUGAAAUUUAAAUUAUUGGACAAGUGAGAGUAAUUUUUUUAUAAUGGUAUUUCUCUAUUAGAAUAAAUAAAAUUAAAUAAAUAAAAUGGUAUUUCUCUAUUAGAAUAAUAAACUGUUUUCGUCUAUACAUCAACCAAAUUUGAGCUUACUACGAUGCUAUUGUCAUAUUUAAGUACAUUAUUUUUUGUCCGGAAGACUCUCCAAAACUAACAUAGAGUCAACAAAUCUACAUCAUAUAUUCCCAAAAAGAUUUGCAAAAUUAGUGUUAAGAAGCUACGCAGCGUGAAGUCAACUUGAAGUUAUGCAUGCCUCCGCUGCGAAAUCAGAUAUUAAAAAUUCUUGUUGAUUACAUCGAUCUUGAAUUCGAAGUUCAAAUUGCCAACUAGUUAUGAGUUGGGUCACGAACUUCAUGGAGUUUGGGUUUGGGCCAAAAACCCGUCUGGCAGCCCAAAUGAAAUCAACAUUUACAUUUUUCUUUUUCAAUUCCUAAAUUGUGGAUAGACCUAUCACCUAUAGUCAAUAUGCGACGGCUACUAAAUUAAGGCGAGGAAGGAGAAUUAUUUUCUUUGUUAUUCUCGAUUAGGUGGGUUAGCUCACAUCAAAAUCAAUUCAUUGCUUCACAAUUUUAUGACGUUAGAAAUUUCUAUUAGAAAUUGUAUACUUCAAUCAUUUAAAAAAAGAAAAAUCCUAUAUAGGAUUCCAAUUCUAUCACUUCAAAAUUCCACCUAAUCCCCUAACAACUACAAGUCAAUUUAUGCUAGCAAUAGAAAAAAAAUAAAAAAAUAAAACCCAUCUGACAAUUUAUUCAAACAUCAAUUUCACAUAUAGUUACAAACUUUCUUGGCUCUUCAUUUAGGCUGCUGAUUUAUACCUGCAAAGAACCUUACAUCUCAGAACCUUAUCUUGAACAUAAAACCCAGGCAUCACCAUGAUUUUAACUCGGCUCGAACCGUGUGACUUUUGCCUAUCCAUCAACAUAUCUUCCAUGUAAUGUGCAUCAAAGCUUCUAUUAUCUUCGACCCUCAAGAUUCCCAAUGGUGGAUUGAAUGAAAAUGCAAGCAAAUGAAGUAACCAAAUGCAUUUAGCUGCAACAAAGAAAGCCUGCAGCAAUUGCUCAGGCCAUGGCCUAGUCCAAUUCAGUGUCGUGAUAAUGCAACUCAUUUUUUGGUCGCAGAACUUGCUAAAUUCUUCACUAUAGAAUUUAGUCCCCUUCCUCAACACUUCAUUCCAGCUUAGAUUUCUUAGUGAAACAAACGACGCAAACUGUGCUUGGCGAUCUUGCUGUGGAUCUAAAAUCUUCGGUGAGCCAUUUUUCUGAAACACACAAUUCUCAAAGUCCUGGUAGAGUGAUUGGUUUAUCAUGGCUUCCAAGUGGUACAAAACAGCCUUGGAGUAUUUUGAACUUAGUGACAAUUUAUACGGUUGAAGCAGCACAUUCAAAUUAUCCAUUAGAGUGUGGUCCGUCUCUUCAAUCUGUGCAACAAGUGUCUUGCAAAAUUGCUUCACCGACAAUCUUGCUUCUGAAACAAUCUGCAAGAAACCUUCCACCAUUGCUUCUUCACUAACCGGCAUCAAACUCUCUCCAUUUCCAUCAAUAGACUUCCCUCUUCGGGGAAAAUUCCCAAGCUUUUCAUUAACUUGAUGAGAGUCCUUUGCAUGUGUUGCUGCUUGUCUCAAGGCUUUCUUCAGCUCUUCACAAUAAGCCUCCAAGUACUCCAGCUUUUGCCUUAGCUCCCCAAAUGAAGAUCUCAUCUCUGAAACUUCCAUUAAUGCUGCGUCUCUACUCUCAUUUGCUUCCAUAAGUUCCCUCUUCAAUGUCUCUAUUGACAAUAUCCCCAAGUCCUUAAAAACCUGUGAAACUUCCUCGGAUUCUGUCCGGUUAGGGGAGUUUUCACUCUUGUGCUUCUUCUUUAACCGCGGAAACAACCAUGACAGCACUCCCCCACGACUCUUAGGCUGCGAGUGAACCAUUGAAUGAGAGUCUGUCAAGGGCACAACAAUGUUAGAACUCCUGAUGCUUCUAACGACAUUUUCGGAUUCACUUGUUAUAACUGCCGGCUUGCAUCUAUUGCAAGAGGAUACUGAUUUGAAGUCCCCCAAGCUGUUUCUUCUGCUUGACUUGUAAACUUCAGUUCCUGGUGAUGUUUGUAGCACAGUGAUGUGGUUUGUGCAGGAACCAGUAACUGAUUUUUGGUCAUCAGCUGGGCAGAAAUGGGACUCGAAACUGGCCAAACCAGAAGGCAAUCCUUUCUUUGAAGAUAAAAUUUCUUUCUUAUAAUCAGAUAAAGUUGAUUCAUUGCCAUUGCCUCCAUCCAAUGCAUACUCAUCCCAGGUUCCCGAUGGAUUCUUUGAGUGAAUCUGAUGAUACCCGGUUACUGGUUCAUCUUCAUAACUCUGUCAAAAAUUCCCCAAAAUCUCAAUAUAAAAUCCAACUACAUGAGAAAGCUAGAACAAAAUUGAAAGCAUAGCAUGUUAAAAAAUGGCCUAUAUUAUCCCAUCACGGUAAAAAAUCAAGAAAAUGCACAUGAGAUUAAAAUUAAAAUAAGUAGAAAUUUAAAAGAAUGAGCAUGUUAGUUUAUACAGAAUACAAUAUACAUUGACAAAACGAAAGGGCAUAUUAAUAUCACAACAAAACAAAUUUCUGGUUUUUAUUUAUUCAAUCGCUGCCAACUACUAAAGUACCUAAAAAAUUCCUUUUGUUACAGAAUCUUUUCAAAAUAUUAGACCACAAAUGGAGUAGCAACAACAGAAAAAACAUUCCGUUUCAAUAAAUAACAUAAAGGUAAUUAAAAAAGAUUACAACUUGUUUUAAAAAAAUAAGAAAAUAAACAAAACUUACAGGAGUGAAAACAGGGUAAUCAUGAGCAGAGAACUGAGAAACAGGGCGAGAAACCGGGGAAGUAGAAGAAGAAUUGAAUCUGUUAUUAGCAGCAGGGCUAUUUCCUUGCAUCAGAGCUGAAUGAAGGGCUCUGAGCUCCACUGCUUUAGCAAUGGCAGCUUGUAUUUCUUGUCUGCUAACUUCAUUAUUAUUGUUGUUUUCGUUGCCACUGUCGUGAUUUUGAAAGAUUUGUGUAGCAGUAGUUGCCGCAGCCAUGAACAGAGCAUAAAACAGAGUUGCACAUAAACAAAAUAAUACACAACAGAGAAUAGAACAAAGUAUGCGACUAGAUAUUGUUGUAAAAUUUGGGUAUCCAACGGUUGGAUGUGAUUCGCAGAGAUUAAGAUGAUAUCCACUGUUAGAAUCUUGGAGAGCCAGAAAAUUGUGAGAGAUGGGGAAAUGAAUAAGAAAAUGGAAAUGAAAAUGAAUGUGAGGUAUAUAUGUAAACUCCAAUGAACUUUUCUUUUGUCUUUGUCUUCAAGGAAUUAAUAGAAUGAGAGCAUGUGAGUAAGAAAGAGAGAGAAGUUUCAAAAUGGAUUAAUAGAAUGACAGCAUGUGAAGGAAAAGAGAGAGGGAACAAUUCAUGGCUUUGCCAGUUUCCUAAAAUGCCCAUGAAUUUUUCUAAAACUAAAUUUCUUGGACCACCCUAGCCUUUCAAGAAAUAUCGAGAGGUUUCAAAACUUUUUGAUUAUAAGUUGUGAUAUGACCGUGAAUUGAAUCCUAGACUUUUUGUAGUACCUAAAAAGGAAAAAGUUCUUGUAGAUUGAGAGUAAUGUGCAUUCGGGGUUUCGAAGACUCACAAAAUCUUAUUAGUAAAACAAAUCUUUUUACACUCACCAUUAAUAAUAAUAGAAAAUGAUCAUUUUCAAAUAGCAACAAGAAGUGAUGGCGGUACCACUUAGAAACAUGAUUGCUCAAGUAUUAUAACAAGAUGGUUCCACUAUAAAAUCAUUAUUUAUACCAACAGUUUUUGUUGGUGGUGUUGUUCUCAUUAUUGCAUUGAUUUGAAGUUGUUAUCAUACAUGUGUAAUCAUCAUAAUUGAUCAUAUAAGUAUGCUGCCAUCUGAGGGCACGCUCUAGCCCCACAUUGAUUAGACUAUUUGUUUAGAAAUAGUAAAUAAACAUGAUAUUAUUUCUAUUGUAAAAAGUUGUGUUCACAAUCAUAGUCUUCACUUGAAUUUUCUUUCCUUCAUUUGCAUUUUCAAUGGAGUCUAAGCUGUAAAUCCAUAUGAAGAAUAGACAAAUGCGGAUCACAAGUAAAAAGAAAACAUUUGACUGGUGUUAAGCUUGACUUUAGUUUUUAACGUUGAAUAACAUUGUAUUAGAGUUAUAAUUCUAUGCUAUAAAUUCCUUCAACUCAUUCAAUUUAUUGACGACUUCAUCUCGGUUUCAAUUUCAUCAAAGACAUGUAUUUUGAUUUAAGUCAGAUUUCAUUGAAUUCUCAUUCGACAUUAGAGACCUAUUAGACCUAACUAAAACGCAACAUUUUUCUUGAAUUCUACCUAAGGUUUUGAUAGCGGCUGCUUCUCAAUUGCAAUUUCAAAACCAAACUUUGAAUUAACACUAACAUAGUGCAUGCUCCUGUGGAAAAUUCACGCAGUUGAUUUCAAAGUGGUUAAAAGCCAUGCAAUUGAUGUUCACUGUGAAAGUUGAGCUAAUUUAUUGUUUAAAAUUUUUCAAAAUCUAAUAAAUAAAUGGUUCACUUUUUAGUAAGCAAAGAAGAAAAGAAUAGAAAAGAAAAAGUUGCUAUAAUUACUCCAUUACAUUGGACCUUUGAAGGUAGAAUUUAGAGGUUCUUAGGGUAGUUUUGUCCAAAGAGAGUUGCCCCAAGGUUGCGGGCUUGCGGAUUCUGCCGAAAGGAAAUCAGGUGGGGGACAGACAUGUCCGAUAGCUUCCACAUACUCACUGUCUUUCCCUUUUCUCUGAGUUGUGAAUCUAGUGAGAAAUAAUGCCAUUGUGGGGACCAUAAAAAUUAAUCUUAGUACAAUUUUUUCUUUUUUGUUUUAAUUUAGCUUAACGGUUGUAACUAACAUAAACUUUGACCACUUAUACUGCGCUUAGUGUCAGUAACAACGCUACAGAGUUAUAGACUCCGGAUAUGCAGAGUAAAUAUAAAUAUAGACAUCCCUAAAAGCAACAGUAUGUGAGUCACGAGACAGAUGAAUAAAUAAAAAUACUAGAUUAAAUAAAAAGAGCAAAAGAAUAGCUAAUUAAGAUGAGAUUUAAUCGGUCACAGCUGAAAGUUUUUAUAAAUAGAAAUAUUGAAUAAUUUGAAAGAGAUUUGAACUUAAAUUCUCAGGGGAGAAUAUGUCCAUUCUCCCCUAAUUAAGAUUACUUUUUUUUUUUUAGUAUUUUCCAAGGAACCAUAUGCUAAUUUGAGCGAUGAAAUUCUUUUUAUAGGUACCAAAUUGACACUAGAAGUUGUGGGAGUUUGAAGAUAAGGACAAAAUUGUCAUUUUUUGAUAUCGAAGGAAUUUUGCUUCUUCAACAAUAAUCUAAUCCCCUUCCAUCUAUACGAGCAUAGUUGAAAUAUCAUACUUCUUAUUUUCAACACAAGCUUCAACAUUAAUCUAAUCCCCUUCCAUCUAUAGGAGCAUAGUUGAAAUAUCAUAUUUCCUAUUAGUAAUUCUAAAAAAAAAAAAAAUUCACGUAGUUAGCUACUUCCAGUGACGUUAAAACUUAGAUGAGAAUUUCAAUCCAAGCGACAUUGGGGGUUAAAUGGAGAUUAUUGAAAGAAGUAGGGCUUUUUUGAAGUAACCAAUUAUGUAUUAAAUAUUUCAACUAUGUAAUAGUUUUUGUUGUUUGUUUAUUUCAGAUGGAAUUCCAGGUAGGAUUGUUGAAAUGUUAAUUUAGUAUACGAAGUUUGCUUUUCCCCAUCAUCGCUUUUGUUUUUGUAAAAAAAUUAUUAAUAAUAAAAACCAUUAUAAUAUUGAGAUUAAUUUUCUGAUCCAACCACCCCAUCAAAAAGCUUACUAAGGUUUUGUCAACCUCCACAUGCAAAAAGUGCUGUUAAUUUCUUGUUUAAUCGAUAAGAUAAUGACUAUAAUAAGUUUAAAUUAAGCAUAGUGAUCAUAGCAGGUUUGAUGUUGCACAAAGUUUAGAAUCUAAGCAGCUAUAAGCUGUCUAGUAAUUAGCCAUGACUCCUGCAAAGAUAAGGCUUGGAACCCAACAAAAGAAUUAGGUUCCAUUCUUUUGACGAUUUACGAAAAAAAAAGUCAAAAAAAAAAAUUUUUAGUAUUCAUAUUGUUCGGUGAAAAUUUUGUUCAUACUAAAUUUUAUCUUAUUAUGAUCAGAUCAAAGAGAUGAAUCAAAAUUAUUAUUGAGCACUAAAUGAAUAGUUUGUAUUUUUUGAUUUUUUUUUAUUCUCUCACCUAACAACUAUUUAUUCAGAGCUCAACAAAAAAAUUAGCUCAAUAAUAAAUCUUUAUUCUUGAAAUAUUUGUAAUGUUAACAAUGAAAUGCAAAUGAUUUUCAAUAAAAUGCAAUACUAUGCUUAUGAUAUCUGAUGUUUUACUAAUCAAAUUAAGACCGAACUUAAUGCCGUGACUCUAUCAUGUUGAAUCUAAAACCUAGAAAGAAGAAUAAUUUAUUUCAUAUUUUACUUUAACAAUUUAAUACAGACCGUAUUAAUGGUUUAGGAUAGGGCCUCACAAUCAUUUGUCCAUUUCAUUUCUUAGAAUCAAAGGCUUCUUAGAGGACAGGCUUGACUCUUCAUACUGCAAAAGUGAUUGAGGGUGGAGCUUACACAGUAUAUCACAUCUUGAUCCUUGAGAAUUUAGAACAUGAAAAUAAAGUAUAUAUCUUUUCUUGUGAUUGGUUACUAAUAAAAAUUUUAAAACAAUUAAUAUUUGACAAGGCGGAAACAUUGAAAGUAGAUUAAUAUAAGAAAUAAAGGUUUGUGAAUAAUGAUAAGUUUUAUUGAAAAAUCUAAAUGAGUAAAACUAUGGUUUUGAGCUCCUUUUAUAAUAAGUUUAGAUAUCCUGAAUUUACUAAAAUAGUUAAAUUCAAAAUAUAAUAUGAUAAUUAAAUUCUCCUAAUUAAAAUAAUAAAAUAAAAAUAAACAGCACUCAAACUUGAAUUCCAAAAAAAAGAUAAAAAUCUUUAAAAAAAACAAGGAAAAAUAGGAAAAAAAAUCCUAAAACUAGGAAAUGAUCAGGGAAAAAGUAGAAUUUCUAGCUUGAUCCUGGGGCAGAACAACACAAGUAGUUCUGAGUUAGAUUUGUCUUGUCGCAAGCUUUAAAACAACAUAUUAUACUUAAAAAGGGGAUGCCUGAGGCCUGUGGCUCAAGUUAUGGCCUUCAGAAGAUACCCUACUUGUAAUACACAAUUACCAUACAUCAAUAUCAAUCAUAAUGUAAUAAUGAUAAUUAUGAGAAAAUCGAGAUCUCCAUGAUAACAAGCUUGUUACCUCAAUAUUACAGCAAAAAUGCAAAACCCAGUAAUCAUGCAAUCCUUAGAUGGAUAUUUCUCAUCCUUUAUGAGAAAAUGAUUAAUUUAGAUUCAGACUUGAGAUUUUUAUACUAUUGUAACUAUCAUUGAUUAGAUAAAAAAUAAUAUUUAAUUAAAUCUUAACUAUAAACCACUAUAAAUUUUUGCGUGAUAGAAAAUAAUAAUAAAAAAACUCAGCUCAUAUCUUUAAUACUUUUAGAAGAAUAUCACCGGGUAAAAGCCUAUUUAGUCUCUGUAUUUUAAGAUUAGUGUCCAUUUAGUCCCCGCAUUUUUAAAAAUAUCUCGAAACAUUCAUAUUGUUCAAGUAUUGAUGCCCCUACCCACGUUAAUAUGUUGAUAUUUAGCAAACCUGACCAGAAUUAAUUCUAUUCUAUUAUAACACAACUCAGAGGUCUAAACCUAUUUUUCUUAUCAUGUCUACUUCAUUUGCCUUUUUCAAGGGAUAGGUGAUAUUCGGGUAAAAGUUCAUUUAGUCCCUAUAUUUUAAUAUUAAUGUCUAUAUAGUUUUCGUAUUUUUAAAAAUACCUCGAAAUAUCAUUGAUGUUAAAGCAUUGAUACCCCUACCGUUACUUUUUAUUUUUUUUGGCUUAUUUUUACAAUAUUACCCUUUUAUAAUAUUUUUUUUGUUUGGACAUUAAUAAAAAGAAAAUAAUUAAAUUACCAAUUUAACCCUAAAAAUAAAAAAUAUAAAAUUAUAUUAAUUUUUAAUUGUCAAAAAUUGUAUGCAAACUAUCAAGUGUGCAAAUGGUGCUUGCAAAAAAAUUAAUAUAAAUUUUUUAUUUUUUAGGGUUAAAUUGGUAAUUUAAUUAUUUUAUUUUUAUUAAUCCAAACAAAAAAAAUAUUAUAAAAGGGUAAUAUUGUAAAAAUAAGCCAAAAAAAAUAAAAAGUAACGGUAGGGGUAUCAAUGCUUUAACAUCAAUGAUAUUUCGAGGUAUUUUUAAAAAUACGAAAACUAUAUAGACAUUAAUAUUAAAAUAUAGGGACUAAAUGAACUUUUACCCGAAUAUCACCUAUCCCUUGAAAAAGGCAAAUGAAGUAGACAUGAUAAGAAAAAUAGGUUUAGACCUCUGAGUUGUGUUAUAAUAGAAUAGAAUUAAUUCUGGUCAGGUUUGCUAAAUAUCAACAUAUUAACGUUAUUAUUUUAUUGAAAAAACACAAUAUUUUCUUCGAAAUUGGGUCCCUUAGAAGCAAAUGAACAUUGCCACCAUCGUUUGUAUUUUUGCCUCGUGUCUUCCAAUUGAUACUGAUCAUAUAUUAUUUUAGGAGAAACCUGCGGUGCAACUGUGGUACCGUGCCACAGUUGCAUCCAACCGUUAGAUGCUAAUGGAUUCCAUCAAUUCAAGUACAUCCAAUAAUUAGAUGUAAUUGUGGUACGGUACCACAGUUACACCGUAGCCUGAUCCAUUAUUGUAAUACAAAAAUCCUACAAAAGUUAAGAACAAUCUCCAGUCUUUGGUUAAUAUUUUGUUCAAUCCUUUUUUUUUAGUUUCCCCAGACAGGUGUUCCAAAAAAAAAAAAUAAUAAUUCUCCAAAGAGAAUAUUUAUAUUUUCAUGAUUGUAGCUUUAUGUUUGUAUACACAUAAGUAGUGAAUGCUCAUCAUUUUCAUUUUACAGCUUUAUGUUCUUGCACAGAGAUUGAUUGUCUGUCCCUUUCUUUCGUACCGAAGAGAAUAAAGCAGCGAAAAUACUGCAACAAAAUCCAAGCAAAAAUACUGCAAAGCAUUAAGCGUGCGUGUUUUAUUUCUUUUUAUUUUCUUGUAUUAUUAUUUAUCUCAAAAAAUAAAUUAUUUUUAAAUUGAAAAAAAAGAAAGCAAGAAUAAAGUGUUUCUGUUUGCCAAGUUAGGAGUAUUUUUUAAAGUGAAAGUAGAAAGAAUGAAUACUCAUGCAUGCUUGGCUUACUCCUCGUAUAACGUUUGGAUUUUGGCUUGGCUUGGUUGUUUGCUCGUGCUAAAAGAUUAUUCCUUUUGUUAAAUGUAUGUGUAUGCUAUUGCGUAUAAAGAGUCAGAUUCAAUACCCACGAAAGUAACGAAAGAGGAAUUUUCAAUAAAUACAACGACUAAAUAGAUCAUUGUCUUAGCCAUAAUUGUGAGGAAAGUGGUUCGCGCCCCCGCAGACGCAUUGCAGGGGUUUAAUUUAAAUAUCUUUAUUUGAGGCCUUAGAGCUUGAGUGAAGACAGUCUUUCUCAUAAAAUGAGAGUUGGGCAUUCCUCGAAUAUUUGAGAGGGUUAAAAAUCUGAGCGGUGUCAUAUCAGAAUUGAUGUAAACGGGUCUUAGUAAUUUAUAUGGUGUAAAUAUCAUGAACAAUAAUUCUUUAAAAAAAAAAAAGAUCAUUGUCUUAAAUUUUCGGGACUAAAGAAUAUUUACUUAAUAUCUGUGACAACAUACCAUAUUUUUUUUUUCUUAUAGCCCCAUUGUCGUUUCAUAUUAGUUGAAAUAGACUUCGUGCUCAAGUUGAGACAAAUGAGAGCCCACUGUCGUUAGUGCAUUCACGUUCUUAAUUUUGAGUUCAUUUUGUAAGAUAUAUUAAUUGUUUUUGUGACGAACGUCGUUGGAGUUUGCUCUUCAAUUCAUAGUGAGCUAUAAUAUUCGAGUUACCUAAUACAAUCGAACUAAUAUAAAUAGAAUCUCUAGAGCAAGACUAAUUAAAUUCAAUUUAGUACUCUAGAAACAAAACCCAAUAAUUGUAAGAGGAAUCUAUGUCCCAUAAAACAGCAGCACAGAUAAUUAGUAAUACGAUGUUAAAGAACGAUAUUUUCUUUUGAAAUAUCAAAGCUCUUAAACCAAUUAGUGCAUGCAUGAUAAAAUUGACAUCCAUGUUUUAGCCCAUCGACUAAUUUAAGUCGAUAAAUCAUCUCACAAUUAGAGGCCUUCUCCUUCCCCACUUUUCGACAACAAUAUUUUUCGCGUUGCUUCAAGAAGUAUAGGGAGUUGUUUCUUCGAUUGUUGAACCCAAGAAGAAUGUCGAAUUGUAUCUCUUCAAUAUCAACUUAUCUAAUUGCAAAAACAUGCACGCUCACAGUUUGUCAUGCUUAAUUUUCCGAAAUAAUAUCAUUUCCAACAUCCUUGAGGGUGAUUAAUUACUAAGUAUUGGAUAUGAUUGACGAUGUUAAGAUUUAUUUUAUACUUAUUCUCACCUCUUCGUCUCAUCGCUAAGGUUGAGGGUUUGAAUUAGUUUACAUCGAGGCAGUUCAAAACAAACUUUAUGCUCGGGCUUCAAAGUGAAUUAUAUUGAGACACGGCUCUCCUUAAUAUGAAAAUAGAUUUUCGAAUUGAUUUGCUUACUCUUGAUUUGAACUUCAACUGAACUACAUCAAGGCAGGGGGCUAGAGUCUCCUUUAUUAAGCAUACUUCCCAAUAAAAUUUCAAUUGCGCUACAUCAUUAGAAUCCCAACGUAUUUAAUACAACCAUUAGUAUACUUGUAAUAUACUUGGAAACGGAGAAACUAUAUAUAUGAAAACUAUCACAUCAAGCUUUUAGAUCCAGCACUUUCUUUAACGCAUAGACCAUUUAUAUUUAUUUAGAAGGCUAAUGCAUGGUCUAUUUGGUUAUUGUGAUUAGACGCUCGAGGUUGAUUAGUUGUUGCUUGAUACAAAUUAAUUAUUUCAUUGUCGUUUUGGAGCCACUUGUGUGUGUUAGGACAUUCGAAUAGGACAAAUAAAUCAUAUUCAAUGAACCCCAAGGAAGCAGCCAGUGAUACAAAAAUCAAAUAUGAAUAUUACACAUUUUUUAAAGUAGAGAUUAUCCUCCGACCACUUACAACAAUAUAGAAAUUGUAAAUAGUAAUUAUAAAUUUUUUACGAUAUCUUAAAACUACCUUAAAUUUUAAUUUUAAUUUAAUUAAUUAUUUUCUAUUAAUUACAUUAGUCACUAUUAAAGAAUCUAAGAUAAAUAAAUAAUUUUAAAUCACCACCUAAAAUAUAGUUUUAUCUUCUUAAAUAAAUGUAGGGACAGAACAAAUCCGACGUUCUCCAGCAUUUGAAGAUAAGAACACCUUCAUUAUGUAAUAAAACUACUUCAAAAUUUUUUGUAAUAAUUUCAAUCUAUCAUUAAAAUAAUAUUUUUGUCCCUUCUGAUUCAGUUAUAAACUAAUUAUCGAUUGUUUAUUGAGUUUUCGUUCAAGGGUAGGAACUAGGAAUCUAAAUGAUAAUUUUUUUUUUUUAAUUUUUUUGUCUGACAUGGAUGAGAAAAUGACAAAUUAAUUGAGUCCAUGACGAUAAGAGAUUAACUCACGAGUGUUGCAAAACAGCAACCUCCCUAAAAUUUUGACUUUUGUCAAAAAUUGAGUACCGCGUGGGACCUUGGGGUGAUAAUGCUCUGGUUGCAACUAAUCUGCAAAUUACUAAAUUACUAAAUUACCCGAAUAUUUCAACUAAUUUGCAAGUUUGCCAAUCCAAAUAUGCAAUGCAGUGCGCAGUAGAGAAAGAAAAAGACUUGUCGCUGUUUGCAAUUAGCCAAAUAUACAAAAGAAUCAUAAAAUUGAAUUUAAUAAUUCCAAAAAUUGUUCACUAAUUAAUUUACACAGAAAAUUCAAUAAGGAACAAUGGUCUCGAAACAGUUGACCCCAUCGAGCUCCAGCGCAAACCUCGGCAGCUUCGUCUUGGUUUGUUUCUGCUGCGUCAUCAUAUUAGCGUCGUUCGGCGUCGGUUUCCGUGGCGUUGACGUUGACCUGCCACCGUCUUCGUUUUUCUUCAUAAUACGAUCAUUAACAACGUUAUUGUUGUUGUUGCCGCUGUCUUUUGGCUUAGAUAACUUCAGUUUCUGGCCGUACGAUUCGGGGAAGAAGGCAUCGAACGAGCUGAAAAUCGACAUCAUCGUCGUUAAAUUAACUUUGAUGAGAGAAACUACCGAAUGAUUUGCCUUGAAUAUGAAUUUUAUAGCUUUUGAAAUCUCCGAAUCCGAUGAUGAAAAGAUUUCCCAAGAGUGGGGGUAUUUAUAUUUCAUAAUCAAUCAUAUAAUUCAUAGCGGAGGGAAAAUAACUGGAAACAACUGGGAGGACAGUGAGUUAACGGGAAACGAACUGGAAGGUGCGGAAUGUGGAGUACGUGUCAUGUUAUUAUUGGAGAUAUGACUCGACGUGGCGGGCGGCAAGUCAAUUGUGGAUGGACCGGGAGGGACUCUGUCAGCGCAUUUCUUUGACUAAAGCUUUCGGAAACAACUUUAAUUCAAUGUAUUAGGCUCAGCAAGUGGACGCAGUUGAUGUGCCAAAUUGUAAUCGUUUUCCUCGUUAGAGUAAUGCGAUAUUAUGUAUUUGGGAUUUAUAGUGUGUAUUGCAGCAUUCAACCAAACCUUAAUCACAUUAAUGAGGGGUGCGGUUUGGUUCGGUUUUGCUUAAAAACCAAAUCGUCGAGCCGAACCGUUCAAAAAUACAUGAAUCGAGUACGAACUGAACUUCUUUCUUUAAGCCUGAUUCGGUUUAGGUUGGAUCGGUUUUAAAUAAUUCGGUUUAUGAAAUUUAAUAUUUUAUUUUAUUAUUAGCCAAAUUUUUAUACUUUUCACCUAAAUUUGAUUAUUUUUUAGUUCAAUUUAAUUGUAAUCACGAAUCAAAUAUGUUUUAUGUAAAAAUACUAAUAAAAAAUAUUAUUGUACAUAUAAAUUAAU
Molecule: long non-coding RNA, 86550 nt
Filed under: Citrus sinensis (sweet orange)
Lineage: Eukaryota; Viridiplantae; Streptophyta; Magnoliopsida; Sapindales; Rutaceae
Description: long non-coding RNA (CSIN_LNC004848)
Source: RNAcentral